UGGGAACUCGGGGACAGGCGAGGCAAUGGCCUCAAUUGUUUUGUGCUAUAGCAUUUUUGCUUAUAGCCACCACGACCAAGGCAUCGGCUGAUGAUUAUGCCUCAGCACCACCACCAAAGUAUUCUUCUCCACCUCUUUACUACUACAAAUCACCACCUCCUCCUUCUCCCUCUCCACCUCCACCAUAUUAUUACAAGUCUCCCCCACCACCAUCUCCGUCUCCUCCACCACCUUACUACUACACGUCACCACCGCCACCAGUGCAUUCUCCCCCGCCACCUUACUACUACAAGUCACCACCGCCACCAGUGCAUUCUCCUCCGCCACCUUACUACUACAAAUCUCCGCCGCCACCAAAGCAUUCUCCCCCGCCACCUUACUACUAUAAGUCACCACCACCACCAGUGCAUUCUCCCCCGCCACCUUAUUACUACAAAUCUCCGCCGCCACCAAAGUAUUCUCCCCCGCCACCUUAUUAUUACAAAUCUCCGCCGCCACCAAAGCAUUCUCCUCCACCACCUUACUACUACAAAUCUCCACCACCACCAAACCAUUCUCCCCCACCACCUUACUACUAUAAGUCACCACCACCACCAAAGCAUUCUCCCCCACCUCCUUAUUACUACAAAUCUCCACCACCACCAAUGUAUUCUCCACCACCACCUUACUAAUACAAAUCUCCGCCAUCGCCAUCUCUAUCCCCGCCUCCAUCUUACAUUUAUAAAUUCCCACAACCAUCAUCUAUACCACCUCCACCAUGACCUCUAUCACGGUCAUUAUUGCUUCCUUACUACUCCAAGUCACCGCCAACUCCUUUAUCUCCACCUUCACCGUAUUACUACAAUCACCCCCACCUCCCAAAGACUACUACGUUCAGUAUCCCUUCUUGAAACAAGUUUAAAAUUCAAUAAGAAUAAAUUUGUUCCUUUGGUUGCCUUUUUUUUUAAUUUUUUACUAAGUUCAAUGCCCCUUCUUGAAACAAGUUUCAAAUUCAAUAAGAAUAAAUUUGUUCCUUUGGUUGCCUUUUUAUGCUUUUUUGUGUCAAUUUUUUUACAAAUAAUUUGUAAGAAGCGUUCAGUGCAUCAUUUGUCAUGUGCAAUAAAAAUCUUCUAACUUAAUGUAUCCCCAAAAAAAAAAAAAAAAAUUGUUCUAUAAGAAUUAUUCUAUUGUUUUAUCACAAAUGUGUUGUGGCGCAUAUAAUGCUCCCGGAUGAAGUAAUAUUAUGUCUUGAUGAACAAUCAUGCACAACAAUGAUCAUGUACAUAGUUCUUCCAACGUCAUGAUAAUGUCCAUGCACAUAAUAACAAACUUCUUCCUCAUAAUAUCAAAGAAAAUGAAGAUACAAGCCUCUUAUUCUUUAGUCAUUCACUCAAACAACAUUGUUUUAACUUAGGUUUUGAUCAAUCUUAAUGCUAAUAAAUGCUAACUACAUAUCAAAUACAAGAUCAACAAAAACCAGAUUUUAAAUUAAUCAGAAAAACAAACACUAGACUUAACCAAGCAGUUAAGCUUUAUUAUUCUCCCUCAGUAAAGGAUACAAAGAUGUAGGUGGAUUACAAGCUAUCACUGAAAAAAUAGAAAUCAUCUAAAAUGGUGAACAAAUGAGCUCUAAAUCUGUUGCACUCAUUUGUUCAACUAAGCAAUGAAAUUACCCUUUUCUAUUUUAACUGCUUGUCUACUUUAACACGGCAACUUUAAAUAACAACCUUCAACUUGAAAAAUUUGAGUAACCAGAGCCAUCAAUAACGGUAAAUCUUGACAAAAAUUUUAGUUUAAUUAAGGCCAUAAACAUAAUAUUAAAUAAUAAAAAAAAAAGGCCAUAAACAUAGUGUUGAAAUACCAUUAUACCUGUGAACGAACUUUUGAUGGUUAUUAAACUCAUGAACCCUCAAUUUUUGUAUUAUGAAUAUGCUCAUGGCCUAUCUUAGGUCUCCUCUAUGAACCACUUUUUUUUUAAAAAAAUUAUAUUCAUUAUGAUACUAAGGUAUAAGUAGAAGUAAAGUUCUUUUAAUAUUUUUGUAACCAGGAUGUGACAACCUAGGUGAUACGUGAAUUGGUUAUUUGCACAUUUUGCUACAUUUUUGUGAGUUUGCUUGCUGGUUUUCUCUUUGUUCCAACAAUUCACACAUAGGAUAAUCUCAUUUUAACAAAGAAAGAUACCACUAAAAUACAACAAAACAUGAUCAAUUCUAAUAUACUAGAAAACUUUUUUUUUUUGUUUGCCUUUUCAUAUAUUAGAGUUGUGUUUUUGUUAUCUUAUAGUGGCAUCUAUGCAGUUUAACUAAAUGAGAAUAUUCUCAUUUGAGAAUUAUUAAUAAGAGAGUAGUAGACAAAUGAUACCCAACUAUACUGCUUCACUAUUAACAACACAUCCAAUUGAGUAAUGAUAGAGAGUCAAUUCUAUCACCAAAUGAAAGCAAACAAAAGCUGAAAUAUUUUAGUGAAUAUCUUUAAAGUUUGAAUUAAUAAUAAAAUUGUCCCAAAAAACUGUCUUAAUGGAACUAAUGUGCGAUUUAUUUGUAGGGUGAAUAAAUAUCAUUUUCCAGAAAAAAAUAUAGUCAAAAUAUGGAAAGCUUGUUCUGCAAGUGGUUGAUAUUGAUGUACAUUAAUGUCAAAGAUACAUUAAGUGCAUGCCAAAUUCUAUUAUAAAAUUUAUAAAUGUAUAAGUAGAAGAUUUUAUAAAUUAAUUCCUGUAAAACGUCGGUUAUAUGAAUAAAUGGUGAAGAGAAAGCUGUAAUAAUUAUCGUAAUUACAAUUUUCUUGAGCACGCUUUGACGUACGAUUAACAAAAAAGGUCUGUAUAUGAGCAAUCGGCCGUACAUUAUCUUAACCACCUGAUUUUGUUUUUUUUUUUUGUAAUUUCAAUCUUGGCCGUUGGAGUCAAUGAAAAGAUCGUUCAAAUGGUAGAGAUUUGUCUAUUUGAUUAUUAACAUUAUGCUUCCCGAUGGUUAUCAAAAACCCAAACAAAUUAAAGAGUUAAAACUUUUAGCACAUAAGUCCGAAUUGUUUCAAAUUUAUGUUGUUUAAUCACUAGUGAGUCUCAAAAAAUAAAUUUAUUUUAAUAUUAUAUAUUUUAUUUAAAAGAAUUAAUUUUUUAUAUCAUUUAUUUUAUUAAAAAUAAAUAUUAUUGAAUACUAAUUAUUCUCAUUUUAUUUAAUAUUAUUUAGUUAUAGGCUUAUUAUUAUAUUUAAUUGUUCAAAAAACUAAAAAAAUUUAAAUAAAAUAAAGUAAUUGAUGGUUGUCGAAGCCAACAAAAAUAAAUUCCUACUCUAAAUAAAUUGUGUAUAGUGAUUGAGCAGGGUCGUGUCCACAGAGAUCGGUAAUUAUUUAAAUCCUUUUGAAACGUAAAACGUAAAAUGGGGGAAUUGUUGACAAUAAUAAAAAUCAAAUUAAAAUAACAAGAAUGCAAAUUAAAGUUGUAAUUCAAAUUGGAGAAAGCUCUGGUUGAAGGAAUUAACUCAGCUUGAUUCGACUACUGAUCAUUGAUUCAAAUAUAGAUUAUUAUUACUCAUGAAUAGACCGGUUAUAGCUACUGAGACCCUCUAAUAGCCAAUCUCUCCUUAACUAGUCGAUAACCAAGGUACGACCGUUGGAUAUUCCCUAAUCAAUAGACAACCCUAGAUACGAUCAUAGAAUUUAAUCAAUUGACAGCCUGAAAAACCAGAAAGACCCAAAUCCUAAUCAACACAUAUGAUGAUUCAUUUAAAUUAAAUUGUUUAUUCUCACAACACAACUCUCUGCUAUGUCAUUUGUCACAAACAUUAAAUUCUUCAUACGAUGAAUCCCUUAAUUGACAAUAGAUUAAGUUGAUAAUUAAAUAGUGGCCAACUGCUGUACGGCCAAGGCGGAUGUACGGUACAGCAGAAUACAUUCCCUUACUCAACUAACAAAGUCUUUCAUUUAUCUGAAAACAGUUCCAAUUUUGAAAUAUCAGUGUCAAACUUUUCCCAGCAACAUAUUUAUCAUCUCUCCACAUUAUCCUUAACUGACAGCAGCUUGGAAGAUCUUCAAUCAGCAAGUUCAGAAAGCAAUGAACAAGUACCUUCUGUUUCUGCACACACAAAUAAUCUGCAUCAACAAGAGCAUUCUNNNNNNNNNNNNNNNNNNNNNNNNNNNNNNNNNNNNNNNNNNNNNNNNNNNNNNNNNNNNNNNNNNNNNNNNNNNNNNNNNNNNNNNNNNNNNNNNNNNNNNNNNNNNNNNNNNNNNNNNNNNNNNNNNNNNNNNNNNNNNNNNNNNNNNNNNNNNNNNNNNNNNNNNNNNNNNNNNNNNNNNNNNNNNNNNNNNNNNNNNNNNNNNNNNNNNNNNNNNNNNNNNNNNNNNNNNNNNNNNNNNNNCAGCAGAAUAAAAUAUUAUUAAUUUUAUUUUUUUUAUUUUGCUAUCUUACUAAUAAUUGGCAAUAAUAAUAAUAAUAAUAAUAAUAAUAAUAAUAUCUUUAAGGUUAAUGAUUUUAUUUUCUAAUUAAUAUGGAUAAUUUUAGAUUUUUAUAAUAUAUAUGACGAUAAACACGAAAUUAAGUAUAAAACUAAUUCUCAAAAUCCGAUUUUAAAAAUCUACUUUUUCCCUACUUUUUAAAAUCUUCAGUAAGAUAAGGUAAAUUUACCAAAAGUGAUUUCUGAAAAUAUUUAUCAAAUAAUAAAAUUAAUUUGUAACUUUUCAAAAUAACUUUUAAAUCUCGCAAAAAAAAAUCCUAAAUGAGUCCUAAGUACCUAACUUUAUGACGGUCAACAAAUAUGGUAUAAAAGUCUUCUACACCUACUGGGCAUUUGAAUGGGCCAUCUGUCUUAGCUCUUACCUCUUAAAAUGGGCUAAAAAUCAGAGAGUCAGUUAACUAAUAUGGGCUAAAAUUUGGGUACACCUCUCGGGCAUGUUAAUGGGCCAUCAUCUUUCACAGGUUUCUAAAGGGUAAAGGCUUUCUGUCUCCCAAGACUUCGACUAGUGAAAUUUAAUCGAUAUAAAUAUGUAGCUACCUAUAUUUAUAUAAGAAAAUGAUGUUCUCAUAAAUUUGCGUGCAAAGAUUUGCACAAAACGGUGCGUUUUGUGCAGCUUUAAAAAUGCUCUUCGUACGUGCACCAAACAACACACAAGCACGCCAAUUCACAACAUCAUUUUCCCACUCGCGUCUGCCUCCUUUCACUGCAACAAAAACCCAGCAGCUUCGUUCUCCACACAGCAAGAAGUCUCCUUAUUAAUAUAAUAUUAUAUAAUAAACUCAACAGAAGUCUCCUUUCUUCCUCCAUUUUUCCUCACGAGAUAGCUCCGAUCUCUCUCCCUCCGUCCUCCUUUCUUCCUUACAAGACAGCUCGGGUCUCUCUCUCUGGCCUCCUUUCUCCCUCACAAGAUAGUUCGGAUCUCUCUUUCCAGUCUCCACGCCGCUAAUAGUCCCAGUUCUAACCUCUCUCGCCCCGCAGCAACCAUAAGAUCUCUCUCUCACCCGUUUCAAUUCAUUGCUCUAAUUGAAAUCUUUAACUCGUUUAGGACAUUGUGCUGAAUUACCUAUGGAUGGUGGUGGUCUUAUGCUUGAGUGUUGUAAAUUAGAAUCAAAUUAUGCAAAACCUGAUGCCUUUGGGAAUCAUGUUUAUUUCAAGCUUCUAUGUUGUGAUUUGAUUAUUUGAUGAAGCACCUGGAAAAUGUAGUUUGCUCCCUCAAAUUAUUUUACUCUGUUGAAUAAAUUGUAUUUGCCAUUAUUUGAAAAGAAUUUAAAAAAAAAUUACAGCCCCGAAACAUUGAGCUUAUGCUAUAAUUUAAGCAUCUCCCUCAUUUAUAGCACAUUUAUUUUCAUAAUUUACGCGACAAUGGAGAACGGAGCCGAGACUGUUAGUGGCAUGGGGAUGAGAGAGAAAAAUAUGAGCUGUUUCGUGAGGUUUUGUUAGGUUUCGUGAGGGAGAAAGGAGAUGGGAGAGAGAGACGCUGAGUUUUGUUGCUCCCCUCACUUGUGUGUGUUUGGUGUUAAAACUUUGCAGCAAAGAGUGGCUUUUAUACUUUGCACAAAACGCACCGUUUUGUGCAAAGUUUUGUGCAAAGUGUUGUGAGAACAUCAUUUUCCAUUUAAAUAUUGGCUUUUCAUUUUUUUUCAAAUGAGAAUUGAUCCAGUGUGCACCAUCAUGCACAGCACAAGGUAUAUUUUCAUCAGUGGGCGCUAGGUCUCAUAGAUUGGUUCUCUCUAAUAAGAACAUGUCGUCUGUUGUCCCGCGCUAGAUCGAAUGCGUUUUCAAAUUUGUCAAAUUACAUUUUGAGCAUGUCAUAGUGGACGUUAUUACAAAGUCGUCAAUCUCAAUACAAUAAUCAUGACAUCAGGUUUUGAGAAUGUGAAUAAAACUCAUAUUUAUUUGAUAAAAUAUAAUUUAAAAAUAAAAAUAAAAUAUGUAUAUUCUAUAUAAUUUGAUAAUAAAAAAUAGAAAUCUCAUUUUUAUAUUGGGUUGGGAAUGAGGAUUCCUAUUUCUUGAACUGACUUUUAUAUCUCUCUAUUUUUUUCAUAUUUUUUAAAUUAUUCUCGUUUAAAUCACAAUUAAUUUGAUUACUGCUGUACGGCCAAGGCGGAUGCAAUAGAAUUGCACCUACAAAAGUAAAACAUAAGUAAAUCACUAUUAUUAAGUGCAAAACAUUGAUAUUAAGGGAAGUAAAUAAUGCAAAACUAGUGCAUAAAUUGCACUCUAACAGUAAUCAGUAAUCAGCAUUAAAAAUUAAAUUAAAUUAAAUUUUUUUGUUUUUAAUAUUAUUUAGUUAUAGACUUAUUAUUAUAUUUAUUCGUUCAUAAAACUAAAUAAUGUUAAAUCAAAUAAAAUAAUCAGGAAUGGUUCUUAAAAAAUUAAUAUUAUUUAUUUUAUUUUAUUUAAUAUUAUUUAGUCAUAGCCUAUUAUUCUGUUUAUUUUUUGAAAAUUAAAUAAUAUUAAAUAAAAAUCCCCCCUUUUCACAAUAGAUUCCUCCCUUCAAUACUCUCUCUCUCCUCUCUUUUAGAAUUCUAUUUAAAAUAAAAUACUAAUAUCUGAAAUAUUAAAUUCGUAAUUACAAAAAUAACCAAAAAUACAAAAUACGUUAAACUAAAAACUGCAGGUCCGCAGUUGACAGCACGCGCCCACGCCUUAUCAACAAAGUUCUUCUGACGCUCAUAAUUUCUCCAAGAGAACAAUCAUCCUUAAACAUCAUCUUAUAGCUCAAUUUUAUCAUCAAUCAAUAGAAUUACACCUACAAAAGUAAAACACAAGUAAAACAUUAUUAUUAAGUGCAAAACAUCGAUAUUAAGGGAAGUAAACAAUGCAAAACUAGUGCAUAAAUUGCACUCUAACAAAUUCCCCCACACCAAGAUGAUGCUUGUCCUCAAGCAUAUAACUCAAGACUAAUCUCAAAUCUCCACUAAAUUCUCAUCUCAACUCAUCCAAAAAUAAUUUUAAGCAAGCAUACCUCAAGAAAUUAAGUCGAUCAACAUUCGAGAGACAAGGAUUUUUAAAGCAUAGAAUCUCAUAAGAUAGAAUAAGAACAUUCAACCACCAAGAAGAUCCAUUCAAAAUUCAAGUGCAACAAGAUGUAAUAGCCCUCUCAAUAACUUCACUCCAUGCACUCAAAGUGUUUAGGGUAUCAUUUAUGCACUCAAAUCAAAUCAAAGAAUGCUAUUACCAUAAGCUUGCUCAUAUAUCACAUCUCAAUCCACAAAACAUGAAUAAAAUGAAAAAAUCUAAGGGUCUUAAAAGGGUUGUAAUGGGGUUAAAUAGGUUAAAUGAAAAAGAAAGGUCUAUGAAAGAAAAAGAGAUCAAAAUGAGAAGAAUGAACUCAUUGAAUGAACUUAUGAUAUCAAAAUGCUCCUUGGCCGUACAGCAGGAAUGGUUCUUAAAAAAUUAAUAUUAUUUAUUUUAUUUUAUUUAAUAUUAUUUAGUCAUAGCCUAUUAUUCUGUUUAUUUUUUGAAAAUUAAAUAAUAUUAAAUAAAAUAGAAUAGAAAAUGUGAGUCCUUAAAAAUAAAAAUUAUUUUUAAUAUUAUUUAUUUUAUUUAAAAGAAUAAAUUUUUUAAUAUUUUUAUUUUAUUAAAAAAUAUUAUUUAAUAUUAUCUAGUCAUAGGCUUAUUAUUAUAUUUCUUCUUUUAGAAAGUUAAAUAGUAUUAAAUGAAAUAAAAUUACAUUUUAGAAGGUCAUUAGCCAAAGCACAUAAACUUAUAAACAAAUGGAAAUAAAAAAGGUAAAUAAUAUUCAAUAAAAUAAAAUUACAUUUUAAAAGGUCACCAACCAAAGCACAUAAUAUUAUAACAAAAAUGUAAAUAAAAAAGAAAGUAAGAGAUUCAAUGAAAUUUAACAUCACAAAAGACAAUUUCAAAAAUUGGGGGUAGCUUGCAACUGUUGCAAAGUGGCUGGUUCCAUAAUUUUGAGAUAAUGUUUCGGUUUCAAAUAUUGUUAUCGAUACCUAAUUAUAAGUAAUAAAAAAAUAUUGUAUAAUUUUUUUACCAACAUUUACAAUACAUUUUAUUUUGAUUUCUGAAAAAAAUAGAUAAAACACAAAUUAAUUAUUUUAACCCUCUAUUCUCUCAAUAUUUAAACUCGAAUAAUCAGUUAAAAGUUGCUCGAGAAUGUUUAAAAGCCAUUUAAGUAUACCACGUCAUUCAUGUUUUGCAAUCAUUCAAUUGUUAAUAAGUUUCCCAUGUGCUGAAAAUAAAUAAAAAUGCACGUGCAUAUGUCAUAUUGUCUCCGAAACCUCACAGCGGAAUGAGUGUAGUACUUGCAAUGCAUGUACUUUAGACUUUGUAUUUCUCUUAUUUAAAUGAUCAAUAAUUUUUCUUUGUCCUUUAAUUAGACGUCAACAGUCGAAGUUGUGGGCAAGUAGUAGGCUAUAUAUAAUAAUUUCCUGGAGAUCUUCCGUCUUCUAAGACAUUGCAAAUGCCAAACGUGAUAACUAUUUUGAUAAUUCAAAUACUACAUAAAAUAUAUGAAGUGUCAGACAAGUCAAAAGAAUUGAUUCUUCACAAUUGUAUAUACGUAUACACACACUUUGCCCAAAUCCCAUUGUAUCCAGGCUGUAAUUUUUAUAUUAAACGAACAUAUUUUAUUUUAUGUCAGCAAUAUUGAUGCAGGCUGGUGGAACAACAGCUUCAGGAUGGUCAACUACCCUUCGGAUCAUUGCAAGUGGGAUGGCAUCACUUGCAAUUCAGAUGGAACCAUAAUCGGGCUAAAAUUAUCAGGGUAUGAUGUUGACUUCAAAAGGUAGUCUUCGUAAAAUUAUCAUGGUAUAAUAUACGUAUUUAUUUUCGCAUACAUAAAUAAAUAACAAAAUUGUAAUUAAUUGGAUACAACUUCAGCUUUUGGACUGGUUUGUGAAAAUCGGAAAAAUUUAAAAAUGCUCCUCUUGAACAAUCAAAAUCUACUUUAUACGUGAACAAAGGGGAUGAUUCGUAAAGAUAAUUCAUCAAUGUUUGAUUACUUUCAGAAAGAUAGACUUCAUUUGAUCUCGUCCCAAAGCAUAAUUUCACUUUGAAUUUGAAAAAGAAUAAUGAAGUUCAUACGAUGCUGUUGUGACCUUUUUUUUUUGUUUUCUUUUUUUCUCGACGUUGUUUUGUGAAUCAUAAGGGUUAAUUUAGUACGGUGGGUUCGCUUGUAUGAAGCGUACUUAUUGUACCAUUCUGUUGCAAGUAAUGAAAAAACGCUAUAAUUUUUUUUAGGUUUCUACAAGUAUUAUGUUAUCUUAUAUCUAACUGUGCAUCUCUAUUCUUUGCUCUCAGUUCAGGUUCUCUAAAAGUAUAUUAAUUAUGAAAAGCAUUAAAGGUUCCGAAACUCUAUUUUGCGGGGAAAAAGAACCUCCAUUUUUGGUUUUUUAUUAUCAUAAGAGGUUUUACUAUGCUCGUAAUAACUUAAUCGAAAUUAAACAUAUCACUGGUCUACAUUUUUUUAUCAGAUUUUGUGCCUUGCUAAUUAAGAUGAGUAUCACCAUCAAAUCAACAAGCUUAUACCUUCAAAGAAAAAUAGACUAUAAGUCGGGAGAAAGAAGAAGAAAAAAAAAAAGAAGCUUCGCAAUUUAUGCUGUUGGUUGUGAGUUCAUGAAACAAAUAAAAAUAUGAAAUCAAACAUUUAUCCAAAAUUUAAAAUUAAAAAAAAACUCUAUAUCUACAGUAAUCUGUUCAAACCACAUAGGUGGAGCAAUAGAGUUCCAAGACGUGGUUUUAAAACAUGUCUUUGUGAUAAACAAUAUCGUGAUACUUGCGCCAAUUCCCAUGCCAAUAAUUGCCUACAUUUAUCCAAGAUCCAUGGCCAGGUUUAGAAUGUGCUAGUCUUCUUUCACUUUCAUAAAUAACCACUACUAGGUAAUCAGAGUGUCGGUCUAAAUUUUUCGGAGAUACAACGUCAAUGUAUGUGCCCGGAGUUGAAGCUGAACGCGCUUAAAUAUGUUCGGAAUUUGAAGUUGAACGCCUGGAAAAGGAUGCAGACUGAAGAAAGGCAAUUCCUGGAAUUUGUCUUUGGUAAGAAAACAUGGCUGCUUAUGCCCUUUGAAAGACUGAAGAAACCAAAUUGAUUAUUGCUGCAAUUUAGUGGCACGUGUACAAGGAGAGGCAUCCGAUUAAACUUGUUCAUAAAAUUAUUGCUGAUAGUUGCAGCCGAUCUCCAUGAAGUACAAACCCAACGCAAAGAAACAAAGUGUUCGUACAAUUUUAUCCGCCAGCAAUUUCGACCAAGAGACCUUGAUGCAGUUCAGACCAAUUCGCCAGUUGAACAUCAAGUUGCCUAGGCAUUGAGAAUUAGGUCAAUAAAAUAUAUCCUGGGUCACUUACAAAAGAUGAAAUAAGUGAAAAAGGAAAGAUGACGUAAUAAUUUCUUAGUGAGAAAAGUUAGUUAAUUUUCAAUUGCUUUCAUUGUUUUGAUAAUUUUCAAAACAUUUCAUUGCUUUCAUUGCGUAAUUAAGCUUUUUUUGCUUCAAAAUAUUUCAAAUUGUGUUUGUGGGACUACUAAACAAUUAGGACACAACAAUGUUUCGUUCUGGUCUUUUUUUUUUUUUACUUUUUAAUUUAUUUUAAGAAAAUCUUUGUCCAUCUCUCAUCCUGCCAAAUAUAUCGUCUCGUCUUGUUAUCUAGAAUAAUUCUUCAUGCAUCAAUGAGUUUUGACAAAUUUUUAUCUUUUAAAAGUUGUUGUAAUUCAAUAUAGCUAAAAUCUUAAAUACAUACAUGUAGAAUAAUCUAAGCAUUACCUUAUUCGGGGAAAAUCGAGAUUAGAAUCAAUCAAAGCAAUGAUACCUUAUAUCAGUGAGAUAUAUGCAAGACUCACCCAUUGGUACAAACGAAAAUGAUCAAAGUGGAAGCAAAAAUGGAAUCCUCAAAUGUGGUGAUAAUUUAGAUGAUCUCCACUCUCCAUUUGGUUUCAUCUAAUAAGUUAGUGUUUAAUUAAGAAUUUAUUACUCAUUUUAUUAUGAUAUUAAUCAACUGCCGUCCCUUCCAUUAGUUCAUUAUUUUUGAUGGAUUACGAAAGACAGACAAUAAAAUUCUCCAAAACUGUUGUAAGAGUAAUAUUGUAAAAGUUACAUAAAAGUGAGGAUAAGGAUAAUUUGAGGUAUGUUUCAAGAUAUAAAGAUUAAAUAAAUUCUUAACUCAAAAUAAAGAGAUUUAUUUUUUUUAAAAGAGAUUAAAAUGUCAUGAUAAAUAAAUAAGGGAGGUGAUAUUCUGGGCUCUCCCCUGGCUUUUUGUGAUAACAUCUUAAAUUAAUAUAAAUAGUUAAAAUUUUAUUAAAAAAUAAAUUUUUACCUAAUACUCUUUGACAUAGCUAGGAAUAUAGCCUACUUGCAAGAGACUUACAUUCGUUUGCACAGCCCUUUCGUGAAUAUAAAAUUGCUGCCGAAUAAGCAUCUAAUUAAAAGAAUUAGGAAUUUGUCAACGGUAUAAAUUAAAUAUAAAAAACGAGUAAAAGAAUUUGUCAAUGGGAUAUGGGGGGCUAUGGCUUCAAUCGUAGGGGUGGGCAAAUUUCGGAUUCCGAAUCCGAUCGGAUUUUGGAUAAUUCGGAUUGGGAAAAAAUCCAUCCAAAUUCAAUCCGAACCUUAAAUCUGUUUCGAUCCGAGAUAAUUUCGGAUCCGGAUCAGAUUCGGAUGAGUUUGAAUUUCAGAUUAUAUUUCAAGUUCGGAUUAUAUUUUGGAUUCGGAUUAAUUCGGGUUUGGGACCUUUUUACAAUUCUCACAAAAAAAUUAUGAAAUUUAUAAUUAAUGAAAAAUAAUUUCCAUGAUGCUGUCAACAAUAAUUAAUAUUUUGAAAACGCAAUAACGGAAUUUUCAAAAAAAAGAAAAAGAAAACACAGGAACGGUAUUGAUAAAGAAUUUUCAUUAGCCAUUUGUGACUGCUAACUAAAUUGUAACAACUAAGUAAAAUAUAAUAAUAAUAAUAAUACAUGCGGGUAUAUUCAAAGCAACUAAAUCACUUGCGAAUGAUCAAGACAAAUCGUAUAAACAAGUAAAAAAUUCAAAGUUUCAAACGCAAAUCGUCGGGGGCUAUCGGAUUAGUGGAUUACCAUUAACAAGACGAGGUUUAUGUCGGUGUGAGUUGCUCAUUGUGGGUCUGGAUGAUGUCGCGAUGGCUGGGUUUGUGCCAACUAUGAUCCAGCUAGGUUUGUAUCGAAUCUGAUCUCGUCUAGAGGACGUUGUGGCGGCUGGGUUUGUGUCGAAUUCAUUCGGUUUGUCUCGUCGGCGACAUGGUUGUUGGUUGGCUCGUCAGGUUGUGGCCCGUGGGUGUGGUGUGGUUUGUUGUCGUGGAUUGACUUAUCAAAGGGCGUGCGACGAUGGUGUGUGGUUUUGUCAUUUGGAAAUUGAGUUUUGAUUUUUCAUUUUCGUUUUUUUAAAAAAAAAUUUUUGGAUUAUUCGGAUUGAACUGAAUCUUAUCCGAUCCAAAUCAAAUCCGAUCAGAUUACAAAAAUUUCAUCCGAUUGGAUUUUAAAGCAAAUCCAAAUCCGAUCCGAACAAAUUCGGAUCGAAUUGGAUUAGAUCGGAUCUAUCCGAAUCUGAUCCAAUGUCCACCCCUAUUCAAUCGGUUUCUGCAAUGGUUAAUGGCAUAUUUUUGCUCAUCGUCACCACUGAAUCCACUGAUCAUUUGUGCAUGUGAGUUGUUUUUGAGCAUUUAUUUUUCCCUUUAGAAGCAUAAGGAUAAGGCUAGUCUUCUUUUUGGGAGGACUUAUUGCUUCCAUUCGUUAAAAUUGGGCAUGUAAAAUGUCAAGAAAAAAUGGCCUAAGUGGCUAGCUAGAUGAUAUAAUGGAUGGUUACUACUCAAACCUAGCAAUAAAUGAAUGUCCGACAAGCAUUCAAAUGAAUGAAUAAAACCAAUCAGAUUAGAAUAUCUAUUUAUGAUAGAUUAAUGAAAAUACGAUUCAAAUAUAAGGUAAAUAAUCUCUCCAUUAAUUUUUUAUUGUUUCAGGCAGGGUUGCCAAGCCUCUGUCCGGGCUUCUAUAAGCUCAAUUCCAGCUCUCCUAUAUGAUUGAAUUAGAUCGGGCUAGGCCCUCGGACUUUUUAAUUAAAAAAGGUCGAUUUUUAAGUUUAUGAAGUUAAUACACUCACGCUUAUACUUUAAUAUUUUUAUUAUUUGGCUUUUAGAAUAUUAACGUGUAAAUUACUUUUUUUUUUCAAGUGAAAUAAUUAUCACAUUUUGUCUUCUUAGUAUAUAUUUCUACCUUUUUGUUCCUAUAGAUAUUUCCUCAUUUCAUCUUUGGUACUAGAGCGUAGUAAAAAAACACAUGAUUAAAGAUAAAUAUGACAUUUUAACUAACAAAUUAAUUAUUUGUAUCUAAGAUCUAGCUCUAGUGGUAAAGAUCAAUUUUCAUCGAAUUCAAGUCUUGGGUUUGAAUUUAAAUGCAUGGGUAAGUUAAUAAUAAUAAUAAUAAUAAUAAUAAUAAUAAUAAUAAUAAUAAUAAUAAUAAUAAUAAUAAUAAUAAUAAUAAUAAUAAUAAUAAUAAUAAUAAUAAUAAUAAUAAUAAUAAUAAUAAUAAUAAUAAUAAUAAUAAUAAUAAUAAUAAUAAUAAUAAUAAUAAUAAUAAUAAUAAUAAUAAUAAUAAUAAUAAUAAUAAUAAUAAUAAUAAUAAUAAUAAUAAUAAUAAUAAUAAUAAUAAUAAUAAUAAUAAUAAUAAUAAUAAUAAUAAUAAUAAUAAUAAUAAUAAUAAUAAUAAUAAUAAUAAUAAUAAUAAUAAUAAUAAUAAUAAUAAUAAUAAUAAUAAUAAUAAUAAUAAUAAUAAUAAUAAUAAUAAUAAUAAUAAUAAUAAUAAUAAUAAUAAUAAUAAUAAUAAUAAUAAUAAUAAUAAUAAUAAUAAUAAUAAUAAUAAUAAUAAUAAUAAUAAUAAUAAUAAUAAUAAUAAUAAUAAUAAUAAUAAUAAUAAUAAUAAUAAUAAUAAUAAUAAUAAUAAUAAUAAUAAUAAUAAUAAUAAUAAUAAUAAUAAUAAUAAUAAUAAUAAUAAUAAUAAUAAUAAUAAUAAUAAUAAUAAUAAUAAUAAUAAUAAUAAUAAUAAUAAUAAUAAUAAUAAUAAUAAUAAUAAUAAUAAUAAUAAUAAUAAUAAUAAUAAUAAUAAUAAUAAUAAUAAUAAUAAUAAUAAUAAUAAUAAUAAUAAUAAUAAUAAUAAUAAUAAUAAUAAUAAUAAUAAUAAUAAUAAUAAUAAUAAUAAUAAUAAUAAUAAUAAUAAUAAUAAUAAUAAUAAUAAUAAUAAUAAUAAUAAUAAUAAUAAUAAUAAUAAUAAUAAUAAUAAUAAUAAUAAUAAUAAUAAUAAUAAUAAUAAUAAUAAUAAUAAUAAUAAUAAUAAUAAUAAUAAUAAUAAUAAUAAUAAUAAUAAUAAUAAUAAUAAUAAUAAUAAUAAUAAUAAUAAUAAUAAUAAUAAUAAUAAUAAUAAUAAUAAUAAUAAUAAUAAUAAUAAUAAUAAUAAUAAUAAUAAUAAUAAUAAUAAUAAUAAUAAUAAUAAUAAUAAUAAUAAUAAUAAUAAUAAUAAUAAUAAUAAUAAUAAUAAUAAUAAUAAUAAUAAUAAUAAUAAUAAUAAUAAUAAUAAUAAUAAUAAUAAUAAUAAUAAUAAUAAUAAUAAUAAUAAUAAUAAUAAUAAUAAUAAUAAUAAUAAUAAUAAUAAUAAUAAUAAUAAUAAUAAUAAUAAUAAUAAUAAUAAUAAUAAUAAUAAUAAUAAUAAUAAUAAUAAUAAUAAUAAUAAUAAUAAUAAUAAUAAUAAUAAUAAUAAUAAUAAUAAUAAUAAUAAUAAUAAUAAUAAUAAUAAUAAUAAUAAUAAUAAUAAUAAUAAUAAUAAUAAUAAUAAUAAUAAUAAUAAUAAUAAUAAUAAUAAUAAUAAUAAUAAUAAUAAUAAUAAUAAUAAUAAUAAUAAUAAUAAUAAUAAUAAUAAUAAUAAUAAUAAUAAUAAUAAUAAUAAUAAUAAUAAUAAUAAUAAUAAUAAUAAUAAUAAUAAUAAUAAUAAUAAUAAUAAUAAUAAUAAUAAUAAUAAUAAUAAUAAUAAUAAUAAUAAUAAUAAUAAUAAUAAUAAUAAUAAUAAUAAUAAUAAUAAUAAUAAUAAUAAUAAUAAUAAUAAUAAUAAUAAUAAUAAUAAUAAUAAUAAUAAUAAUAAUAAUAAUAAUAAUAAUAAUAAUAAUAAUAAUAAUAAUAAUAAUAAUAAUAAUAAUAAUAAUAAUAAUAAUAAUAAUAAUAAUAAUAAUAAUAAUAAUAAUAAUAAUAAUAAUAAUAAUAAUAAUAAUAAUAAUAAUAAUAAUAAUAAUAAUAAUAAUAAUAAUAAUAAUAAUAAUAAUAAUAAUAAUAAUAAUAAUAAUAAUAAUAAUAAUAAUAAUAAUAAUAAUAAUAAUAAUAAUAAUAAUAAUAAUAAUAAUAAUAAUAAUAAUAAUAAUAAUAAUAAUAAUAAUAAUAAUAAUAAUAAUAAUAAUAAUAAUAAUAAUAAUAAUAAUAAUAAUAAUAAUAAUAAUAAUAAUAAUAAUAAUAAUAAUAAUAAUAAUAAUAAUAAUAAUAAUAAUAAUAAUAAUAAUAAUAAUAAUAAUAAUAAUAAUAAUAAUAAUAAUAAUAAUAAUAAUAAUAAUAAUAAUAAUAAUAAUAAUAAUAAUAAUAAUAAUAAUAAUAAUAAUAAUAAUAAUAAUAAUAAUAAUAAUAAUAAUAAUAAUAAUAAUAAUAAUAAUAAUAAUAAUAAUAAUAAUAAUAAUAAUAAUAAUAAUAAUAAUAAUAAUAAUAAUAAUAAUAAUAAUAAUAAUAAUAAUAAUAAUAAUAAUAAUAAUAAUAAUAAUAAUAAUAAUAAUAAUAAUAAUAAUAAUAAUAAUAAUAAUAAUAAUAAUAAUAAUAAUAAUAAUAAUAAUAAUAAUAAUAAUAAUAAUAAUAAUAAUAAUAAUAAUAAUAAUAAUAAUAAUAAUAAUAAUAAUAAUAAUAAUAAUAAUAAUAAUAAUAAUAAUAAUAAUAAUAAUAAUAAUAAUAAUAAUAAUAAUAAUAAUAAUAAUAAUAAUAAUAAUAAUAAUAAUAAUAAUAAUAAUAAUAAUAAUAAUAAUAAUAAUAAUAAUAAUAAUAAUAAUAAUAAUAAUAAUAAUAAUAAUAAUAAUAAUAAUAAUAAUAAUAAUAAUAAUAAUAAUAAUAAUAAUAAUAAUAAUAAUAAUAAUAAUAAUAAUAAUAAUAAUAAUAAUAAUAAUAAUAAUAAUAAUAAUAAUAAUAAUAAUAAUAAUAAUAAUAAUAAUAAUAAUAAUAAUAAUAAUAAUAAUAAUAAUAAUAAUAAUAAUAAUAAUAAUAAUAAUAAUAAUAAUAAUAAUAAUAAUAAUAAUAAUAAUAAUAAUAAUAAUAAUAAUAAUAAUAAUAAUAAUAAUAAUAAUAAUAAUAAUAAUAAUAAUAAUAAUAAUAAUAAUAAUAAUAAUAAUAAUAAUAAUAAUAAUAAUAAUAAUAAUAAUAAUAAUAAUAAUAAUAAUAAUAAUAAUAAUAAUAAUAAUAAUAAUAAUAAUAAUAAUAAUAAUAAUAAUAAUAAUAAUAAUAAUAAUAAUAAUAAUAAUAAUAAUAAUAAUAAUAAUAAUAAUAAUAAUAAUAAUAAUAAUAAUAAUAAUAAUAAUAAUAAUAAUAAUAAUAAUAAUAAUAAUAAUAAUAAUAAUAAUAAUAAUAAUAAUAAUAAUAAUAAUAAUAAUAAUAAUAAUAAUAAUAAUAAUAAUAAUAAUAAUAAUAAUAAUAAUAAUAAUAAUAAUAAUAAUAAUAAUAAUAAUAAUAAUAAUAAUAAUAAUAAUAAUAAUAAUAAUAAUAAUAAUAAUAAUAAUAAUAAUAAUAAUAAUAAUAAUAAUAAUAAUAAUAAUAAUAAUAAUAAUAAUAAUAAUAAUAAUAAUAAUAAUAAUAAUAAUAAUAAUAAUAAUAAUAAUAAUAAUAAUAAUAAUAAUAAUAAUAAUAAUAAUAAUAAUAAUAAUAAUAAUAAUAAUAAUAAUAAUAAUAAUAAUAAUAAUAAUAAUAAUAAUAAUAAUAAUAAUAAUAAUAAUAAUAAUAAUAAUAAUAAUAAUAAUAAUAAUAAUAAUAAUAAUAAUAAUAAUAAUAAUAAUAAUAAUAAUAAUAAUAAUAAUAAUAAUAAUAAUAAUAAUAAUAAUAAUAAUAAUAAUAAUAAUAAUAAUAAUAAUAAUAAUAAUAAUAAUAAUAAUAAUAAUAAUAAUAAUAAUAAUAAUAAUAAUAAUAAUAAUAAUAAUAAUAAUAAUAAUAAUAAUAAUAAUAAUAAUAAUAAUAAUAAUAAUAAUAAUAAUAAUAAUAAUAAUAAUAAUAAUAAUAAUAAUAAUAAUAAUAAUAAUAAUAAUAAUAAUAAUAAUAAUAAUAAUAAUAAUAAUAAUAAUAAUAAUAAUAAUAAUAAUAAUAAUAAUAAUAAUAAUAAUAAUAAUAAUAAUAAUAAUAAUAAUAAUAAUAAUAAUAAUAAUAAUAAUAAUAAUAAUAAUAAUAAUAAUAAUAAUAAUAAUAAUAAUAAUAAUAAUAAUAAUAAUAAUAAUAAUAAUAAUAAUAAUAAUAAUAAUAAUAAUAAUAAUAAUAAUAAUAAUAAUAAUAAUAAUAAUAAUAAUAAUAAUAAUAAUAAUAAUAAUAAUAAUAAUAAUAAUAAUAAUAAUAAUAAUAAUAAUAAUAAUAAUAAUAAUAAUAAUAAUAAUAAUAAUAAUAAUAAUAAUAAUAAUAAUAAUAAUAAUAAUAAUAAUAAUAAUAAUAAUAAUAAUAAUAAUAAUAAUAAUAAUAAUAAUAAUAAUAAUAAUAAUAAUAAUAAUAAUAAUAAUAAUAAUAAUAAUAAUAAUAAUAAUAAUAAUAAUAAUAAUAAUAAUAAUAAUAAUAAUAAUAAUAAUAAUAAUAAUAAUAAUAAUAAUAAUAAUAAUAAUAAUAAUAAUAAUAAUAAUAAUAAUAAUAAUAAUAAUAAUAAUAAUAAUAAUAAUAAUAAUAAUAAUAAUAAUAAUAAUAAUAAUAAUAAUAAUAAUAAUAAUAAUAAUAAUAAUAAUAAUAAUAAUAAUAAUAAUAAUAAUAAUAAUAAUAAUAAUAAUAAUAAUAAUAAUAAUAAUAAUAAUAAUAAUAAUAAUAAUAAUAAUAAUAAUAAUAAUAAUAAUAAUAAUAAUAAUAAUAAUAAUAAUAAUAAUAAUAAUAAUAAUAAUAAUAAUAAUAAUAAUAAUAAUAAUAAUAAUAAUAAUAAUAAUAAUAAUAAUAAUAAUAAUAAUAAUAAUAAUAAUAAUAAUAAUAAUAAUAAUAAUAAUAAUAAUAAUAAUAAUAAUAAUAAUAAUAAUAAUAAUAAUAAUAAUAAUAAUAAUAAUAAUAAUAAUAAUAAUAAUAAUAAUAAUAAUAAUAAUAAUAAUAAUAAUAAUAAUAAUAAUAAUAAUAAUAAUAAUAAUAAUAAUAAUAAUAAUAAUAAUAAUAAUAAUAAUAAUAAUAAUAAUAAUAAUAAUAAUAAUAAUAAUAAUAAUAAUAAUAAUAAUAAUAAUAAUAAUAAUAAUAAUAAUAAUAAUAAUAAUAAUAAUAAUAAUAAUAAUAAUAAUAAUAAUAAUAAUAAUAAUAAUAAUAAUAAUAAUAAUAAUAAUAAUAAUAAUAAUAAUAAUAAUAAUAAUAAUAAUAAUAAUAAUAAUAAUAAUAAUAAUAAUAAUAAUAAUAAUAAUAAUAAUAAUAAUAAUAAUAAUAAUAAUAAUAAUAAUAAUAAUAAUAAUAAUAAUAAUAAUAAUAAUAAUAAUAAUAAUAAUAAUAAUAAUAAUAAUAAUAAUAAUAAUAAUAAUAAUAAUAAUAAUAAUAAUAAUAAUAAUAAUAAUAAUAAUAAUAAUAAUAAUAAUAAUAAUAAUAAUAAUAAUAAUAAUAAUAAUAAUAAUAAUAAUAAUAAUAAUAAUAAUAAUAAUAAUAAUAAUAAUAAUAAUAAUAAUAAUAAUAAUAAUAAUAAUAAUAAUAAUAAUAAUAAUAAUAAUAAUAAUAAUAAUAAUAAUAAUAAUAAUAAUAAUAAUAAUAAUAAUAAUAAUAAUAAUAAUAAUAAUAAUAAUAAUAAUAAUAAUAAUAAUAAUAAUAAUAAUAAUAAUAAUAAUAAUAAUAAUAAUAAUAAUAAUAAUAAUAAUAAUAAUAAUAAUAAUAAUAAUAAUAAUAAUAAUAAUAAUAAUAAUAAUAAUAAUAAUAAUAAUAAUAAUAAUAAUAAUAAUAAUAAUAAUAAUAAUAAUAAUAAUAAUAAUAAUAAUAAUAAUAAUAAUAAUAAUAAUAAUAAUAAUAAUAAUAAUAAUAAUAAUAAUAAUAAUAAUAAUAAUAAUAAUAAUAAUAAUAAUAAUAAUAAUAAUAAUAAUAAUAAUAAUAAUAAUAAUAAUAAUAAUAAUAAUAAUAAUAAUAAUAAUAAUAAUAAUAAUAAUAAUAAUAAUAAUAAUAAUAAUAAUAAUAAUAAUAAUAAUAAUAAUAAUAAUAAUAAUAAUAAUAAUAAUAAUAAUAAUAAUAAUAAUAAUAAUAAUAAUAAUAAUAAUAAUAAUAAUAAUAAUAAUAAUAAUAAUAAUAAUAAUAAUAAUAAUAAUAAUAAUAAUAAUAAUAAUAAUAAUAAUAAUAAUAAUAAUAAUAAUAAUAAUAAUAAUAAUAAUAAUAAUAAUAAUAAUAAUAAUAAUAAUAAUAAUAAUAAUAAUAAUAAUAAUAAUAAUAAUAAUAAUAAUAAUAAUAAUAAUAAUAAUAAUAAUAAUAAUAAUAAUAAUAAUAAUAAUAAUAAUAAUAAUAAUAAUAAUAAUAAUAAUAAUAAUAAUAAUAAUAAUAAUAAUAAUAAUAAUAAUAAUAAUAAUAAUAAUAAUAAUAAUAAUAAUAAUAAUAAUAAUAAUAAUAAUAAUAAUAAUAAUAAUAAUAAUAAUAAUAAUAAUAAUAAUAAUAAUAAUAAUAAUAAUAAUAAUAAUAAUAAUAAUAAUAAUAAUAAUAAUAAUAAUAAUAAUAAUAAUAAUAAUAAUAAUAAUAAUAAUAAUAAUAAUAAUAAUAAUAAUAAUAAUAAUAAUAAUAAUAAUAAUAAUAAUAAUAAUAAUAAUAAUAAUAAUAAUAAUAAUAAUAAUAAUAAUAAUAAUAAUAAUAAUAAUAAUAAUAAUAAUAAUAAUAAUAAUAAUAAUAAUAAUAAUAAUAAUAAUAAUAAUAAUAAUAAUAAUAAUAAUAAUAAUAAUAAUAAUAAUAAUAAUAAUAAUAAUAAUAAUAAUAAUAAUAAUAAUAAUAAUAAUAAUAAUAAUAAUAAUAAUAAUAAUAAUAAUAAUAAUAAUAAUAAUAAUAAUAAUAAUAAUAAUAAUAAUAAUAAUAAUAAUAAUAAUAAUAAUAAUAAUAAUAAUAAUAAUAAUAAUAAUAAUAAUAAUAAUAAUAAUAAUAAUAAUAAUAAUAAUAAUAAUAAUAAUAAUAAUAAUAAUAAUAAUAAUAAUAAUAAUAAUAAUAAUAAUAAUAAUAAUAAUAAUAAUAAUAAUAAUAAUAAUAAUAAUAAUAAUAAUAAUAAUAAUAAUAAUAAUAAUAAUAAUAAUAAUAAUAAUAAUAAUAAUAAUAAUAAUAAUAAUAAUAAUAAUAAUAAUAAUAAUAAUAAUAAUAAUAAUAAUAAUAAUAAUAAUAAUAAUAAUAAUAAUAAUAAUAAUAAUAAUAAUAAUAAUAAUAAUAAUAAUAAUAAUAAUAAUAAUAAUAAUAAUAAUAAUAAUAAUAAUAAUAAUAAUAAUAAUAAUAAUAAUAAUAAUAAUAAUAAUAAUAAUAAUAAUAAUAAUAAUAAUAAUAAUAAUAAUAAUAAUAAUAAUAAUAAUAAUAAUAAUAAUAAUAAUAAUAAUAAUAAUAAUAAUAAUAAUAAUAAUAAUAAUAAUAAUAAUAAUAAUAAUAAUAAUAAUAAUAAUAAUAAUAAUAAUAAUAAUAAUAAUAAUAAUAAUAAUAAUAAUAAUAAUAAUAAUAAUAAUAAUAAUAAUAAUAAUAAUAAUAAUAAUAAUAAUAAUAAUAAUAAUAAUAAUAAUAAUAAUAAUAAUAAUAAUAAUAAUAAUAAUAAUAAUAAUAAUAAUAAUAAUAAUAAUAAUAAUAAUAAUAAUAAUAAUAAUAAUAAUAAUAAUAAUAAUAAUAAUAAUAAUAAUAAUAAUAAUAAUAAUAAUAAUAAUAAUAAUAAUAAUAAUAAUAAUAAUAAUAAUAAUAAUAAUAAUAAUAAUAAUAAUAAUAAUAAUAAUAAUAAUAAUAAUAAUAAUAAUAAUAAUAAUAAUAAUAAUAAUAAUAAUAAUAAUAAUAAUAAUAAUAAUAAUAAUAAUAAUAAUAAUAAUAAUAAUAAUAAUAAUAAUAAUAAUAAUAAUAAUAAUAAUAAUAAUAAUAAUAAUAAUAAUAAUAAUAAUAAUAAUAAUAAUAAUAAUAAUAAUAAUAAUAAUAAUAAUAAUAAUAAUAAUAAUAAUAAUAAUAAUAAUAAUAAUAAUAAUAAUAAUAAUAAUAAUAAUAAUAAUAAUAAUAAUAAUAAUAAUAAUAAUAAUAAUAAUAAUAAUAAUAAUAAUAAUAAUAAUAAUAAUAAUAAUAAUAAUAAUAAUAAUAAUAAUAAUAAUAAUAAUAAUAAUAAUAAUAAUAAUAAUAAUAAUAAUAAUAAUAAUAAUAAUAAUAAUAAUAAUAAUAAUAAUAAUAAUAAUAAUAAUAAUAAUAAUAAUAAUAAUAAUAAUAAUAAUAAUAAUAAUAAUAAUAAUAAUAAUAAUAAUAAUAAUAAUAAUAAUAAUAAUAAUAAUAAUAAUAAUAAUAAUAAUAAUAAUAAUAAUAAUAAUAAUAAUAAUAAUAAUAAUAAUAAUAAUAAUAAUAAUAAUAAUAAUAAUAAUAAUAAUAAUAAUAAUAAUAAUAAUAAUAAUAAUAAUAAUAAUAAUAAUAAUAAUAAUAAUAAUAAUAAUAAUAAUAAUAAUAAUAAUAAUAAUAAUAAUAAUAAUAAUAAUAAUAAUAAUAAUAAUAAUAAUAAUAAUAAUAAUAAUAAUAAUAAUAAUAAUAAUAAUAAUAAUAAUAAUAAUAAUAAUAAUAAUAAUAAUAAUAAUAAUAAUAAUAAUAAUAAUAAUAAUAAUAAUAAUAAUAAUAAUAAUAAUAAUAAUAAUAAUAAUAAUAAUAAUAAUAAUAAUAAUAAUAAUAAUAAUAAUAAUAAUAAUAAUAAUAAUAAUAAUAAUAAUAAUAAUAAUAAUAAUAAUAAUAAUAAUAAUAAUAAUAAUAAUAAUAAUAAUAAUAAUAAUAAUAAUAAUAAUAAUAAUAAUAAUAAUAAUAAUAAUAAUAAUAAUAAUAAUAAUAAUAAUAAUAAUAAUAAUAAUAAUAAUAAUAAUAAUAAUAAUAAUAAUAAUAAUAAUAAUAAUAAUAAUAAUAAUAAUAAUAAUAAUAAUAAUAAUAAUAAUAAUAAUAAUAAUAAUAAUAAUAAUAAUAAUAAUAAUAAUAAUAAUAAUAAUAAUAAUAAUAAUAAUAAUAAUAAUAAUAAUAAUAAUAAUAAUAAUAAUAAUAAUAAUAAUAAUAAUAAUAAUAAUAAUAAUAAUAAUAAUAAUAAUAAUAAUAAUAAUAAUAAUAAUAAUAAUAAUAAUAAUAAUAAUAAUAAUAAUAAUAAUAAUAAUAAUAAUAAUAAUAAUAAUAAUAAUAAUAAUAAUAAUAAUAAUAAUAAUAAUAAUAAUAAUAAUAAUAAUAAUAAUAAUAAUAAUAAUAAUAAUAAUAAUAAUAAUAAUAAUAAUAAUAAUAAUAAUAAUAAUAAUAAUAAUAAUAAUAAUAAUAAUAAUAAUAAUAAUAAUAAUAAUAAUAAUAAUAAUAAUAAUAAUAAUAAUAAUAAUAAUAAUAAUAAUAAUAAUAAUAAUAAUAAUAAUAAUAAUAAUAAUAAUAAUAAUAAUAAUAAUAAUAAUAAUAAUAAUAAUAAUAAUAAUAAUAAUAAUAAUAAUAAUAAUAAUAAUAAUAAUAAUAAUAAUAAUAAUAAUAAUAAUAAUAAUAAUAAUAAUAAUAAUAAUAAUAAUAAUAAUAAUAAUAAUAAUAAUAAUAAUAAUAAUAAUAAUAAUAAUAAUAAUAAUAAUAAUAAUAAUAAUAAUAAUAAUAAUAAUAAUAAUAAUAAUAAUAAUAAUAAUAAUAAUAAUAAUAAUAAUAAUAAUAAUAAUAAUAAUAAUAAUAAUAAUAAUAAUAAUAAUAAUAAUAAUAAUAAUAAUAAUAAUAAUAAUAAUAAUAAUAAUAAUAAUAAUAAUAAUAAUAAUAAUAAUAAUAAUAAUAAUAAUAAUAAUAAUAAUAAUAAUAAUAAUAAUAAUAAUAAUAAUAAUAAUAAUAAUAAUAAUAAUAAUAAUAAUAAUAAUAAUAAUAAUAAUAAUAAUAAUAAUAAUAAUAAUAAUAAUAAUAAUAAUAAUAAUAAUAAUAAUAAUAAUAAUAAUAAUAAUAAUAAUAAUAAUAAUAAUAAUAAUAAUAAUAAUAAUAAUAAUAAUAAUAAUAAUAAUAAUAAUAAUAAUAAUAAUAAUAAUAAUAAUAAUAAUAAUAAUAAUAAUAAUAAUAAUAAUAAUAAUAAUAAUAAUAAUAAUAAUAAUAAUAAUAAUAAUAAUAAUAAUAAUAAUAAUAAUAAUAAUAAUAAUAAUAAUAAUAAUAAUAAUAAUAAUAAUAAUAAUAAUAAUAAUAAUAAUAAUAAUAAUAAUAAUAAUAAUAAUAAUAAUAAUAAUAAUAAUAAUAAUAAUAAUAAUAAUAAUAAUAAUAAUAAUAAUAAUAAUAAUAAUAAUAAUAAUAAUAAUAAUAAUAAUAAUAAUAAUAAUAAUAAUAAUAAUAAUAAUAAUAAUAAUAAUAAUAAUAAUAAUAAUAAUAAUAAUAAUAAUAAUAAUAAUAAUAAUAAUAAUAAUAAUAAUAAUAAUAAUAAUAAUAAUAAUAAUAAUAAUAAUAAUAAUAAUAAUAAUAAUAAUAAUAAUAAUAAUAAUAAUAAUAAUAAUAAUAAUAAUAAUAAUAAUAAUAAUAAUAAUAAUAAUAAUAAUAAUAAUAAUAAUAAUAAUAAUAAUAAUAAUAAUAAUAAUAAUAAUAAUAAUAAUAAUAAUAAUAAUAAUAAUAAUAAUAAUAAUAAUAAUAAUAAUAAUAAUAAUAAUAAUAAUAAUAAUAAUAAUAAUAAUAAUAAUAAUAAUAAUAAUAAUAAUAAUAAUAAUAAUAAUAAUAAUAAUAAUAAUAAUAAUAAUAAUAAUAAUAAUAAUAAUAAUAAUAAUAAUAAUAAUAAUAAUAAUAAUAAUAAUAAUAAUAAUAAUAAUAAUAAUAAUAAUAAUAAUAAUAAUAAUAAUAAUAAUAAUAAUAAUAAUAAUAAUAAUAAUAAUAAUAAUAAUAAUAAUAAUAAUAAUAAUAAUAAUAAUAAUAAUAAUAAUAAUAAUAAUAAUAAUAAUAAUAAUAAUAAUAAUAAUAAUAAUAAUAAUAAUAAUAAUAAUAAUAAUAAUAAUAAUAAUAAUAAUAAUAAUAAUAAUAAUAAUAAUAAUAAUAAUAAUAAUAAUAAUAAUAAUAAUAAUAAUAAUAAUAAUAAUAAUAAUAAUAAUAAUAAUAAUAAUAAUAAUAAUAAUAAUAAUAAUAAUAAUAAUAAUAAUAAUAAUAAUAAUAAUAAUAAUAAUAAUAAUAAUAAUAAUAAUAAUAAUAAUAAUAAUAAUAAUAAUAAUAAUAAUAAUAAUAAUAAUAAUAAUAAUAAUAAUAAUAAUAAUAAUAAUAAUAAUAAUAAUAAUAAUAAUAAUAAUAAUAAUAAUAAUAAUAAUAAUAAUAAUAAUAAUAAUAAUAAUAAUAAUAAUAAUAAUAAUAAUAAUAAUAAUAAUAAUAAUAAUAAUAAUAAUAAUAAUAAUAAUAAUAAUAAUAAUAAUAAUAAUAAUAAUAAUAAUAAUAAUAAUAAUAAUAAUAAUAAUAAUAAUAAUAAUAAUAAUAAUAAUAAUAAUAAUAAUAAUAAUAAUAAUAAUAAUAAUAAUAAUAAUAAUAAUAAUAAUAAUAAUAAUAAUAAUAAUAAUAAUAAUAAUAAUAAUAAUAAUAAUAAUAAUAAUAAUAAUAAUAAUAAUAAUAAUAAUAAUAAUAAUAAUAAUAAUAAUAAUAAUAAUAAUAAUAAUAAUAAUAAUAAUAAUAAUAAUAAUAAUAAUAAUAAUAAUAAUAAUAAUAAUAAUAAUAAUAAUAAUAAUAAUAAUAAUAAUAAUAAUAAUAAUAAUAAUAAUAAUAAUAAUAAUAAUAAUAAUAAUAAUAAUAAUAAUAAUAAUAAUAAUAAUAAUAAUAAUAAUAAUAAUAAUAAUAAUAAUAAUAAUAAUAAUAAUAAUAAUAAUAAUAAUAAUAAUAAUAAUAAUAAUAAUAAUAAUAAUAAUAAUAAUAAUAAUAAUAAUAAUAAUAAUAAUAAUAAUAAUAAUAAUAAUAAUAAUAAUAAUAAUAAUAAUAAUAAUAAUAAUAAUAAUAAUAAUAAUAAUAAUAAUAAUAAUAAUAAUAAUAAUAAUAAUAAUAAUAAUAAUAAUAAUAAUAAUAAUAAUAAUAAUAAUAAUAAUAAUAAUAAUAAUAAUAAUAAUAAUAAUAAUAAUAAUAAUAAUAAUAAUAAUAAUAAUAAUAAUAAUAAUAAUAAUAAUAAUAAUAAUAAUAAUAAUAAUAAUAAUAAUAAUAAUAAUAAUAAUAAUAAUAAUAAUAAUAAUAAUAAUAAUAAUAAUAAUAAUAAUAAUAAUAAUAAUAAUAAUAAUAAUAAUAAUAAUAAUAAUAAUAAUAAUAAUAAUAAUAAUAAUAAUAAUAAUAAUAAUAAUAAUAAUAAUAAUAAUAAUAAUAAUAAUAAUAAUAAUAAUAAUAAUAAUAAUAAUAAUAAUAAUAAUAAUAAUAAUAAUAAUAAUAAUAAUAAUAAUAAUAAUAAUAGAGAAGAGAAAAAUUAGAUCUAGGGUUUCUUUCUUUUUCUCCAAUCCAAAAAUCCCCCCUUUUCACAAUAGAUUCCUCCCUUAAAUACUCUCUCUCUCUUCUCCUCUAGAAUUCUAUUUAAAAUAAAAUACUAACAUCUGAAAUAUUAAAUUCGUAAUUACAAAAAUAACCAAAAAUACAAAACACGUUAAACUAAAAACUGCAGGUCCGCAGUUGACAGCACGCGCCCACGCCUUAUCAACAAAGUUCUUCUGACGCUCAUAAUUUCUCCAAGAGAACAAUCAUCCUUAAACAUCAUCUUAUAGCUCAAUUUUAUCAUCAAUCAAUAGAAUUGCACCUACAAAAGUAAAACAUAAGUAAAUCACUAUUAUUAAGUGCAAAACAUUGAUAUUAAGGGAAGUAAAUAAUGCAAAACUAGUGCAUAAAUUGCACUCUAACAGUAAUCAGUAAUCAGCAUUAAAAAUUAAAUUAAAUUAAAUUUUUUUGUUUUUAAUAUUAUUUAGUUAUAGACUUAUUAUUAUAUUUAUUCGUUCAUAAAACUAAAUAAUGUUAAAUCAAAUAAAAUAAUCAGGAAUGGUUCUUAAAAAAUUAAUAUUAUUUAUUUUAUUUUAUUUAAUAUUAUUUAGUCAUAGCCUAUUAUUCUGUUUAUUUUUUGAAAAUUAAAUAAUAUUAAAUAAAAUAGAAUAGAAAAUGUGAGUCCUUAAAAAUAAAAAUUAUUUUUAAUAUUAUUUAUUUUAUUUAAAAGAAUAAAUUUUUUAAUAUUUUUAUUUUAUUAAAAAAUAUUAUUUAAUAUUAUCUAGUCAUAGGCUUAUUAUUAUAUUUCUUCUUUUAGAAAGUUAAAUAGUAUUAAAUGAAAUAAAAUUACAUUUUAGAAGGUCAUUAGCCAAAGCACAUAAACUUAUAAACAAAUGGAAAUAAAAAAGGUAAAUAAUAUUCAAUAAAAUAAAAUUACAUUUUAAAAGGUCACCAACCAAAGCACAUAAUAUUAUAACAAAAAUGUAAAUAAAAAAGAAAGUAAGAGAUUCAAUGAAAUUUAACAUCACAAAAGACAAUUUCAAAAAUUGGGGGUAGCUUGCAACUGUUGCAAAGUGGCUGGUUCCAUAAUUUUGAGAUAAUGUUUCGGUUUCAAAUAUUGUUAUCGAUACCUAAUUAUAAGUAAUAAAAAAAUAUUGUAUAAUUUUUUUACCAACAUUUACAAUACAUUUUAUUUUGAUUUCUGAAAAAAAUAGAUAAAACACAAAUUAAUUAUUUUAACCCUCUAUUCUCUCAAUAUUUAAACUCGAAUAAUCAGUUAAAAGUUGCUCGAGAAUGUUUAAAAGCCAUUUAAGUAUACCACGUCAUUCAUGUUUUGCAAUCAUUCAAUUGUUAAUAAGUUUCCCAUGUGCUGAAAAUAAAUAAAAAUGCACGUGCAUAUGUCAUAUUGUCUCCGAAACCUCACAGCGGAAUGAGUGUAGUACUUGCAAUGCAUGUACUUUAGACUUUGUAUUUCUCUUAUUUAAAUGAUCAAUAAUUUUUCUUUGUCCUUUAAUUAGACGUCAACAGUCGAAGUUGUGGGCAGGUAGUAGGCUAUAUAUAAUAAUUUCCUGGAGAUCUUCCGUCUUCUAAGACAUUGCAAAUGCCAAACGUGAUAACUAUUUUGAUAAUUCAAAUACUACAUAAAAUAUAUGAAGUGUCAGACAAGUCAAAAGAAUUGAUUCUUCACAAUUGUAUAUACGUAUACACACACUUUGCCCAAAUCCCAUUGUAUCCAGGCUGUAAUUUUUAUAUUAAACGAACAUAUUUUAUUUUAUGUCAGCAAUAUUGAUGCAGGCUGGGGGAACAACAGCUUCAGGAUGGUCAACUACCCUUCGGAUCAUUGCAAGUGGGAUGGCAUCACUUGCAAUUCAGAUGGAAGCAUAAUCAGGCUAAAAUUAUCAUGGUGUGAUGUUGACUUCAAAAGGUAAUCUUCGUAAAAUUAUCAUGGUAUAAUAUACGUAUUUAUUUUCGCAUACAUAAAUAAAUAACAAAAUUGUAAUUAAUUGGAUACAGCUUCAGCUUUUGGACUGGUUUGUGAAAAUCAGAAAAAUUUAAAAAUGCUCCUCUUGAACAAUCAAAAUCUACUUUAUACGUGAACAAAGGGGAUGAUUCGUAAAGAUAGUUCAUCAAUGUUUGAUUGCUUUCAAGCGUGUCGAUUACUUUCAGAAAGAAAGACUUCAUUUGAUCUCGUCACAAAACAUAAUUUCACUUUGAAUUUGAAAAAGAAUAAUGAAGUUCAUACAAGUGCUGUUAUGACCUUUUUUUUUUUGUUUUCUUUUUUUCUCGACGUUGUUUUGUGAAUCAUAAGGGUUAAUUUAAUACGGUGGGUUCGCUUGUAUGAAGCGCACUUAUUGUACCAUUCUGUUGCAAGCAAUGAAAAAACGCUAUAAUUUUUUUAAGUUUCUACAAGUAUUAUGUUAUCUUAUAUCUAAAUGUGCAUCUCUAGUCUUUGCUCUCAGUUCAGGUUCUCUAAAAGUAUAUUAAUUAUGAAAAGCAUUAAAGGUUCCGAAACUCUAUUUUGCGGGGAAAAAGAACCUCCAUUUUUGGUUUUUUAUUAUAUGAGAUUUUACUAUGCUCGUAAUAACUUAAUCGAAAUUAAACAUAUCACUGGUCUACAUUUUUUUAUAAGAUUUUGUGACUUGCUAAUUAAGAUGAGUAUCACCAUCAAAUCAACAAGCUUAUACCUUCAAAGAAAAAUAGACUAUAAGUCGGGAGAAAGAAGAAAAAAAAAAAAAAAAGAAUCUUCGCAAUUUAUGCUGUUGGUUGUGAGUUCAUGAAACAAAUAAAAAUAUGAAAUCAAACAUUUAUUCAAAAUUUAAAAUUAAAAAAAAAACUCUAUAUCUACAGUAAUCUGUUCAAACCACAUAGGUGGAGCAAUAUAGUUCCAAGACGUGGUUUUAAAACAUGUCUUUGUGAUAAACAAUAUCGUGAUACUUGCGCCAAUUCCCAUGGCAAUAAUUGCCUACAUUUAUCCAAGAUCCAUGGCCAGGUUUAGAAUGUGCUAGUCUUCUUUCACUUUCAUAAAUAACCACUACUAGGUAAUCAGAGUGUCGGUCUAAAUUUUUCGGAGAUACAACGUCAAUGUAUGUGCCCGGAGUUGAAGCUGAACGCGCUUAAAUAUGUUCGGAAUUUGAAGUUGAACGCCUGGAAAAGGAUGCAGACUGAAGAAAGGCAAUUCCUGGAAUUUGUCUUUGGUAAGAAAACAUGGCUGCUUAUGCCCUUUGAAAGACUGAAGAAACCAAAUUGAUUAUUGCUGCAAUUUAGUGGCACAUGUACGAGGAGAGGCAUCCAAUUAAACUUGUUCAUAAAAGUAUUGCUGAUAGUUGCAGCCGAUCUCCAGACAAAAUCUUCGUACAAUUUUAUCCGCCAGCAAUUUCGACCAAGAGACCUUGAUGCAGUUCAGACCAAUUCGCCAGUUGAACAUCAAGUUGCCUAGGCAUUGAGAAUUAGGUCAAUAAAAUAUAUCCUGGGUCACUUACAAAAGAUGAAAUAAGUGAAAAAGGAAAGAUGACGUAAUAAUUUCUUAGUGAGAAAAGUUAGUUAAUUUGCAAAGGUCUUAGAUAAUCAAUUUGAUGUAAAAAUAUCAAAAUUUUUUUUAAUCAGUGAAAUAUUCAACCUCUAGUUUCAGCACUACAAAUGAAUUAAAUAGAAUAAUGAUAGAUAUUUUAAAAUUUUAUCCCAAAUGAUGUGAUAUGUAAUGUAUCAUUCAUUAAGUAGUUGAUGAUUUUUUUAUAAAUUUUAAGUGGAUUAAUUAUAUUAUUUUACCAACGAGUAAAUAAAUGUCACAUCAUUAGAGAAGAAAUUUUAAGGUAAAACUUUUCAAAUAUAUAUCACUACUCCAUUAAAUAUGGUAUAAAAAAUCUAAUAGGGACCAAAAAUAUAAAAACCCAUUAAAAAUAAAAAAUAUAAAAGUCAAUUCCUAAUUAGAAGAAUGAAAGUUUGUUUCUCCUACAAUCAUUUCACUAGAUUUUAAAUAAAUUAAUUAAUGAAAAUUUUUAAUAACAAAUCGGUGCCUAAACCUAACGUCUUUUUUUUUUUGGUCUUAUCCACGAGGUAUCCUGGGGAGGGCCCCAACUGUGGGAGGCACCUUUAAGCCCGUACCACAACCCAGACUAGAAGUCCCCGCUCGAACCGGGAGGCACAGGUUCUCCCAACAAAGGCGACUUCCCCGCGACUCGAACUGGGGAGCAAACCCAGUCAAGCCACUUAAGGGGACUCCAUUGCCAGUGGAGCCAACACUUUGUUGGUUAAACCUAACGUCUUUGACAGUGCUGCCAAUAUCACUCACAACUUACAAGAAAAUUUUGGUAUUAAAUUUAUUAAUGUUCUCAAGGAAUUUUUAGUUUGACUUUGCAUUCUCAGACCCAUUUGUCACAUAACACGUUAGCAAAGACCUUUAAUGAGAAUAUUAAAACAGCUGUCGAAUAAGCAUCUUGACGACGACUUUUUGACAUAUAUGCAUGCCUCCUUUUGUGAACAAAUUUGAAACAUAAAAGAAAAUUUUGAUCCAUGUGAGAGCUGGAGUAUUUUAUAGCUUUUGACCUCAUUAAUUAUGAGUAAGGGAAUAUUUCUACGUCACUAACGAUUAACAUGAUCACUAUAUAAAGGGAAGCAAAGUAUGUUUAGCAUCAAGUCAGAAAACACAAUUUUUAGGAAAUGGGAACUCUAGGACAGGCGAAGCAAUGGCCUCAAUUGGUUUGUGCUAUGGCAUUUUUGCUCAUAGCCACCACAACCGCAAAGGCAUCAGCUGAUGAUUAUGGCCCAGCACCAUCACCAAAGCAUGCAAAGCACCCUCCAAGCCAUUACAAGCCACCGAAACCACCAAAGCACCACGAGUCACCACCACCAUACUACUAUAACUCACCACCUCCACCAGUACAUUCUCCUCCACCACCUUAUUACUAUAAGUCUCCACCACCACCUUCUCUAUCUCCACCACCUCCUUACUAUUAUAAAUCACCACCACCACCGAAACAUUCUCCUCCACCUCCUUACUACUACAAAUCACCACCUCCUCCUUCUCCCUCUCCACCUCCACCAUAUUAUUACAAGUCUCCCCCACCACCAUCUCCAUCUCCCCCACCGCCUUACUACUAUAAAUCCCCACCACCACCAAAAUAUUCUCCUCCACCACCUUACUACUAUAAGUCACCACCUCCACCAGUGAAAUCUCCACCUCCGCCAUAUUACUAUAAAUCACCACCACCACCAAAACAUUCUCCCCCACCACCUUACUACUACAAGUCACCACCACCACCAAUGCAUUCUCCCCCACCACCUUACUAUUACAAAUCUCCACCACCACCAAAGCAUUCUCCUCCACCACCACCUUAUUACAAAUCACCACCCCCACCACCACCAAAACAUUCUCCCCCACCACCUUACUACUAUAAAUCUCCACCGCCACCAAAACAUUCUCCUCCUCCACCAUACUACUAUAAGUCACCACCUCCACCUGUAAAGUCUCCACCUCCACCACCUCACUACAAAUCACCACCACCACCAAAACAGUCUCCUCCACCACCUUAUUACUACAAGUCACCACCCCCACCAGUAAAGUCUCCACCACAGCCACCAAAGCAUUCUCCCCCGCCACCUUACUAUUACAAAUCACCACCUCCACCAAUGAAGUCUCCACCACCGCCACCUUACUAUAAAUCACCACCACCACCAAAUUCUCCCCCUCCACCUUACUAUUACAAAUCACCACCACCACCAAAGCAUUCCCCCCCGCCACCUUAUUACUAUAGAUCUCCACCACCACCAAAGUAUUCUCCCCCACCACCUUACUACUAUAAGUCACCACCUCCACCAAAGCAUUCUCCCCCGCCUCCUUACUAUUACAAAUCUCCACCACCACCUUACUAAUACAAAUCUCCACCACCACCAUCUCUAUCCCCACCUCCAUCUUCCAUUUACACCGCCACCAUCUACAUCACCUCCACCACCAUCUCCAUCAUUGUCACUAUUGCCUUCCGACUACUCCAUGUGAUCACCACCUCCCGAAGACUUCUAAGUUCAAUGUCCCUUCUUGAAACAAGUUUAAAAUUCAAUAAGAAAAAAUGUGUUCCUUCGGUUGCCCUUUUUAUGAUUUUUUAUGUUAAUGUUUUUAUGAAUAAUUUGUAAGAAGCGUUGGGUGUAUCAUUUGUCAUGUGCAAUAAAAAUUUCUAACUUGAUGUAUCCUAAAAAAAAAGUAUUGUGCCAAAAGAAUUAUUCUAUUGUUUUAUCACAAAUGUGUUGUGGCACAUGUAAUGCGCCUGGAUGAAGUAAUAUUAUGUCUUAAUGAAUAAUCAUGCACAACAGUGAUCAUGUACAUAGUUCUUCCAAUGUCAUGAUAAUGUCCAUGCACGUAAUAAAUAACUUCUUCCUUAUAAUAUCAAAGAAAAUGAAGAUACAAACCUUUUAUUCUCUAAUCAUUUAGUCAAACAAAAUUGUUUUAAUUUAGGUUUUGAUCAAUCUUAAUGCUAAUAAAUUCUAACUACAAAUCAAAUACAAUAUCAGCAAAAAUCAUAUUUUAAAUGAAUCAAAAAACAAACACUAGACUUAACCAAGCAGUUAACCUUUAUUAUUCUCCUCAGCAAAGGAUACAAAGAUGUAGGUAGAUUACAAGUUAUCACUGAAAAAAUAGAAAUCAUCUAAAAUGGUGAACAAAUGAGCUCUAAAUAUGUUGCACUCAUUUGUUCAACUAAGCAAUAGAAUUACCCUUUUCCAUUUUAACUGCUUGUCUGCUUUAGCAUGGCAACUUUAAAUAACACCCUUCAACUUGAAAAUUUUGAAUAACCAGAGCGAUCAAUAAUUGUAAAUCUUGAAAAAAAAAAUUUAGUUUAAUUAAAGCCAUAAACAUAAUAUUAAAUAAAAUGAAAAAAAGGUAGUAAACGUAGUGUUGAACUACUUUAUACUUGUGAACUAACUUUUGAUGUUGAUUAAGAUCAUGGACCCUCAACUUUUGUAUUAUGAAUAUGCUCAUGUCCUAUCUUAGGUCUCCUCUAUAAACCACCUUUUUUUAAAAAAUUAUAUUCAUUAUGAUACUAAGGUACAAGCAGAAGUAAGAUUCCUUUAAUAUUUUUGUAACCAGGAUGUGGCAACCUAGGUGAUACGUGAAUUGGUUUUUUGCACAUUUUGCUAUAUUUUUUUGUGUGUAUGCUUGCUGUUUUUCUCUUUGUUCCAACAAUUUCCACAUGAGGAUAAUCUCAUUUUAACAAAGAAAGAUACCACUAAAUUACUACAAAACAUGAAUUCUAAUAUACUAGAAACUAUUCUUUUUUUUUUUUGCCUUUUCAUAUAUUAGAGUUAUGUUUUUAUCAUCUUAGUGGCAUAUAUGCAUUUUAACUAAAUGAGAAUAUUCUCAUUUCAGAAUUAUUAAUAAGAGAGUAGUAGACAAAUGAUACAAAACUAUGCUGCUUUACUAUUAACAACACAUUCAAUGGAGUAAUGAUAGAGAGUAAAUUCUAACACCACAUGAAAACAAACAAAAGUUGAAAUAUUUUAGCUAAUACGUUUAAAGUUUGAAUUAGUAAUAAAAUUGUCUCAGAAAACUGCCUUAAUGGAAUUAAUGUGAGAUUUAUUGGUCGGUUGUAUCAAUAUCAUUUUCCGGAAAAAAAAAAUUUAGUCAAAAUAUGAAAGGUUUGUUCUGCAAGUGGUUGAUAUUGCUGUACAUUAAUAUCAAAGAUACAUUAAGUUCGUACCAAAUUUUAUUAUAAAAUUCAUAAAUGUAUAAGUAGAAGAUUUUAUAAAUUAAUUCCAGGUAAAACGUCGGUGAUGUGAAUAAAUGGUGAAGAGAAAGCUCUAAUAAUUAUAGUAAUAACAGUGAGAAGCUAGCUCAUCAUCGAGUUGUAAGAUAUAUUUUUGAAUUUUCUUGAACACGCUUUGACGUACGAUUAGCAAAAAAGUCUGUCUAUGAGCAAUCGGUCGUACACAGCUUAACUAAACCAUUGACAUUGUAAUUAAUUGAUGAGCUUUUUCUAAUUUCUAUGAAUCAAAUGCAGAUAUUUAGUGGGCAACUACCAACCCUUGCUUGGCAAAAUAUAGGAAAGAAAAACGUGAAAUUUAUAAAUGUUACAUUUUUUUAGAUGAAUAAUUUUGAGAUAAUGUUUCAGUUUCCGAUAUUGUUAUCUAUACCUAAUUAUAGAUAAUAAAGAAAUAUUUUCUAAUUUUUUUUAUCAACAUUUACAAUACAUUUUAUUUUUAUUUCUAAAAAAAUAGAUAAAGCACAAAUUAAUUAUUUUAACCCUCUAUCUUCACAAUAUUUAAACUCGAAUAAUCAGUUAAAGUUGUUCGAGAAUGUUUAAAUGCCAUUUAAGUAUACCACGUCAUUCAUAUUUUGCAAUCAUCCAAUUGUGAGGAUUCCCAUGUACUGAAAAUAAAUAGAAAUACACAUGCAUAUGUCAUAUUGUCUCUGAACCGCAGAAUGAUUGUAGUACUUGCAAUGCGUGUAUUUUAGACUUUGUCUUUCUCUGAUUUAAAUGAUCUAUAAUUUUCCUUUGUCCUUUAAUUAGAAGUCAGCAGUCAAAGUUGUGGGCAAGUAGGAUAUAUAUAGUAAUUUCCUUGAGAUCUUCUGUCUUCUAAGACAUUGUAAACACCAAACGUGAUCACUAUUUUGAUCAUUCAAAUACUACAUAAAAUAUAUGAAAUGUGAGACAAGUCAAAAGAAUUGAUUCUUCACAAUUGUAUAUAGUAUUAUUUGAUUCUGCCUCCCACCUAUACACACACACACACACACACACACACACACACAUAUACCCUGAGCAGGAUUUACAUUUUGUCUUUACAUUUUCCACAACGCCUUUAAUUUUUACAGUGAUUAAAAAAGGCCAAAAUAUUGAUGUAUUACCUCCAACUACUAUUUAGACUUUGUUCAAAUCCCAUUGUAUCCAGGCUGUAAUUUUUAUAUUAAACAAACAUAUUUUAUUUUAUGUCAGCAAUAUUGAUGACAAGAUCACUAUAUAAAGAGUAGCAACUAGGUUGUUUAUACAAGUCACAAAACAUAAUUUCACUUUGAAUUUUAAAAAGAUUAAUGAAGUUCAUACAAAUGCUAUUAUGGAUUUUUUUUUCUUUGGACGUUGUUUUGUGAAUCAUAAGGGUUAAUUUAAUAAGGUGGGUUCACUUGUAUAAAGCGCACUCAUUUUACCAUACUGUUGCAAGCAAUGAAAAAACGCUAUAAUCUUUUUAAGUUUCUACAAGUAUUAUGUUAUCAUAUAUCCAAAUGUGCAUCUGUAUUCUUUGCUCUCAGUUCCGGUUCUCUAGAAGUAUGUUAAUUAUGAAAAGCAUUAAAGGUUCCAAAACUCUAUUUUGCGGGGAAAAAGAACCUCCAUUUUUGGUUUUUUAUUAUAUGAGGUUUUACCGCGCUCGUAAUAACUUAAUCGAAAUUAAACUUAUCACUGGUCUAUAUUUUUUAUCAGAUUUUGUGACUAACUAAGAUGAGUAUCACCAGCAAAUCAACAAAGCUAAUACCUUUGUCUACUCGUUCAAAGGAAAAUAGAGUACAAGCCGGGAGAGGGGGAAAAAUGCUUAGCAAUUUAUACUGUUGGUUGCGAUAUCAUGCAACAAAUAAAUAUAUGAAAUCAAACAUACAUCCAAAAUUUAAAGUAAAAAAAAAAAAUCUAAAUCUUGAGUAAUCUAGCUGAAAUUCUGUUCAACCCACAUAGGUGGAGCAAUAUAGUUCCAAGACUUGGUUUUAAAACAUGUCUUUGUAAUAAACAACAUCAUGAUGCUUGCGCCAAUUCCCAUUCCGAUAAUUGCCUAUAUUGAUCCAAGAUCCAUGGCCAGGUUUAGAAUGUGCUAGUAUUCUUUCUCUUCCAUAAAUAACCAUUACUAUGUAAUCGGAGUGCGGUCUAAAUUUUUCGGGGAUAAAACGUCAAUGUAUGUGCCGGAAGUUGAAGCUGAAUGCACUUAAAUAUGUUCGGAAUUUGAAGUUGAACGCCUGAAAAAGGGUGCAGACUGAAGAAAGGCAAUUCCUGGAAUUUUUUUUGGUAAGAAAACAUGACUGCUUAUGUCCUUUGAAAGACUGAAGAAACCAAAUUGAUUAUUGCUGCAAUUUAGUGGCACGUGUACAAGGAGAGGCAUCCGAUUAAACUUGUUCAUAAAAUUAUUGCUGAUAGUUGCAGCCGAUCUCCAUGAAGUACAAACCCAACGCAAAGAAACAAAGUGUUCGUACAAUUUUAUCCGCCAGCAAUUUCGACCAAGAGACCUUGAUGCAGUUCAGACCAAUCACCACUUGAGCAUUUGUUAGGAAAUUGGUGGAUGAAGCAGACACGCAUCUAAAAUAAAAUUGGAAGAAAAAUAAAGAACAAGCACAAAAAGGACACCAAGAAAUUACGUGGUUCGACUUUUAGCCUACGUCCACAGACGAAUACAGAAGGAAAAUAUUUUACUAGUGAAAAGAAGUUACAAGUAUUGUGAUAUUUUAACUCACUACCCAAAAUCUCAAUACACCCAAACUCUCAAAACACUAAUCACUCAAGAGUUUAUUAAACUCUUAAUACUCUCAAUUUCCUAUAGGAAGGAAAUGCUUCUCUCUCGAUGGAAUGCUUCAGCUCUUCAUCUGCACUUCUAUUUAUAGAAAAAUAAUGGCCAAGAAAUCAACGAUUUUAGCCCAACAAUUAUGGCUUCAAUUUCGUCAAUCUGUGUGGCUUCAAUUUUGUCAAUCUAGCGUUCAAAAUUUGUGGGUUGUGUUCUCCAUUUUCUUUGAUUUGCUGGCACCAAAGUCAAGUACCAAAUUUGGUGCUGACUUUUAGGUGUUUGCUUUGACAUUCUCCCACUUGGAGAUUAAAUUGAAAAUUAAUCAAUCUCCACACCAUCCUUUCUAUUUCGUCAUAAUCAUGUUGCCUACAUUUCUGCUAGGCCAUAAGAGGAUCUACUUCAGACAAACUUGUCAAUAUUUAUUGGCUUGGUCAAAACAUCUGCUAGGUCUUCCACUACUUCUCGAAUGAAGUGAUACUGACUUCCUAUAUGCUUUGUCCUGGAAUGAAAUACUGAAUUUCUUGCAAUAUGCAAGGCACUCUAACUGUCACAAUACACAUAAAAUUUCUCUUGUUUGUACCCGAGCUUCUCCAAUAACCUUUGUAUCCAGAUAGCUUCCUUGUAAGCUUGUGUAGCUGCCAUGUAUUCUGCUUCUGUUGUAGAUAAAGCCACAACGAUCUGCAGUUUCGAAACCCAGCAUACAACUCCUCCUGCAAGUGUAAACACAUAACCAGUAGUUGAUUUUCUUUUAUCAAUGUCUCCUACAAAAUCUAAAUCCACGUAGCCCCUAAUAGUAAAUUCUUAUCCUCCAUAACAUAAUAUAACAUCUGAGGUUCCUCUGAUAUAUCUCAGAAUCCUCUUUACAGCUAUUCAAUGCUCUCCACCACGAUUCGCCAUGUAUCGACUGACUGCUCCCACUGCUUGUGCAAUGUCUAGUCUAGUACAUAUCAUAGCGAAUAUCAAACUUCCCACUGUUGAUGCAUACGGUACUCGAGACAUCUCCUUCCUCUCUGCUUCAUUGUUAGGACACAUACUUGAGGAUAAUUUGAAAUUAACAGGAAGUGGGGUAGAAAUUGGCUUACGAUACUGCAUGUUGAAGCGUCACAAGAUUUUCUUCAAGUAGUUCUUCUGAGAAAGCCAAAUCUUCAUGUUAUUUCUGUCUCGGUGAAUUUACAUCCCUAGAAUCUUGUUUGCUGAUCCCAAGUCCUUCAUUUCAAACUCUCUAGCUAAUUGUGCCUUCAAUUCUUGGAUUCGAUCUUUGUUAAGGCCUGCUACCAACAUGUCAUCCACAUACAAUAGCAAAAUAAUGAAAUCAUUAUCUUCAAACCUUUUGUAAUAUUCACAAUUGUUUGAACUGAGUCUGUUGUAUCCAAGGCUCAUGAUAAAGGAAUCAAGUCUCUUAUACCAACAUCUCGGCGCCUGUUUGAGAUCGUAUAGAGAUUUGUUCAACCUGCAAACCAAAUUUUCCUUUCCUAUUUCUGCAAAACCUUCUUAUUGGAGCAUAUAUAUUUCUUCUUCAAGUUCUCUAUGAAGAAAUAUAAUUUUCACAUCCAACUGCUCAAGAUAUAAGUCAAAUGUAGCACACAUCGCUAAGACUACUCUGACUGUUGUGAGUCGAACUACCAGAGAAAAUAUCUCGUUGAAGUCAAUACUUUCUUUUUGAACAUAUCCUUUCACCACCAAUCUUGCACGAUACCGUUCCACUUGGUCAUUGCCAUCACGUUUGAUCUUAUAGACUCAUUUGUUUCCAAUAAUAUUUCUUCUACGUGGUAGUGGUACAAGUUCCCAUGUCUUGUUCUUGUGUAGAACCUCAAUUUCUUCCUGCAUUGCUGUCAUCCACAAAGUAACAUCUGAGCUGUUUAAAGUUUCAUGGAAAUUUGAAGACUCUCCAUCCUCUAUUAGAAGACAGUAAGCAAUAUUGAUCUCUGUGACAUACUCCGAGUGCCACACUAGCGGUUGUCUCUCACGAGUUGACUGACGAACUUCUGGAGCCUCGGACUCGACUGGUUCUUGUUCCUCGUGCUCUGGUGCUGCUUUAGAAGAAUCUGAAUCUUCUGGAUUAUUUUCCACGUAUACCUGCACAAUCUCUAACUUUUCUUUUACAGUGCCAUCAUCUCAAUCUUUCCUUUGCAGAUGAUCUUCUACAAAAAUAACAUCUCUGCUAAUGACGAUCUUGUGGGCAGUGGGGUCCCACAGACGAUACCUCUUUACUCCAUCAGCAUAUCUCAAUAAGAUACAUCUUCUAGAUUUUGGAUCUAGCUUUAUUCUUUCUUGGGCAUUGUAUAUCACGUACACGAGACAUCCAAAUGCAUGUAGGUAUGAGUAAUCAGCUGGCUUUCCAGUCCACAUCUUCAUCGUUGUCUUCAGCCCAAUUGCUAUAGAUGGUGACCGAUUUACUAUAUAACAGACAGUUUUGGCUGCUUUUGCCCAGAAUGAAUUAGGUAAACCAGCAGUCCUUAACAUAUCUCUUAUUCUUUCUGUAAGAGUUCUGUUUAUCCACUCUGCCACUCUGUUUUGUUGAGGAGUGUAUGCUAUCAUGAACCGCCUCUGAAUACCUUCUUGCUUACAGAAAGCAAGAAACUCGUCGUUUGUAUACCCUCCACCAUUAUCUGUCCUCAAGCACUUGAUCUUUUUACCAGAUUUAAGUUCCACCCGCGCUUUGUAUUCUUUAAACACUAGAAAAACAUCUGACUUUUUCUUAAUUAGAUACACCAACAUUUCCUAGAAUAAUCAUCAAUGAAAGUCACCAGUACUUUGCACCUCCUAUGGACAUAUCCGGUGAUUCCCAAACAUCAAAAUGAAUCAAGUCUAAAAUGCAGUUACUUCUAGCAACAGAUCUACAGAACUUUAAUCUAUACUGUUUACUUAUAACACAAUGCUCGCAAAAUGGUAAACUUACCGAUUUGAGCCAUGGAAGCAAUUUUCGCUCAGAGAGAAUCUUCAAACUUUGUUCCAACAUGUGGCCAAGUUUGAGGUGUCACAUCAUCGUUGAUUCUUCUCCAUUUGACGCGACACACACAUCAGCCUCCUAUAGUGUUUCUCCUUUAAGCAUGAAUAGAUUAGCAUCGAUCUUUUCUGCCUUCAUCAAUACAAGCGUGCCUUUAACGAUCUUUAUAAUUUCAUUCUCUAUAUGAGUUUUGUACCCAUGGCUAUCCAUUUGUCCCAAAGACAAUAGAUUUUUCUUCAUGCCGUUAACAUGUCGUACUUCCCCAAUUGUGCGAAUUGUACUAUCAAAUAUUUUUAUUUUGAUAGUACCAAUACCAGCGAUCUCCAAGGCAUGAUCAUCUCCCAUAUAUACAGAUCCUCCUGAGAUAGGUUCAUAUAUGAGGAACCAUUCUCUCCGAGAGGUCAUGUGCUAGGUAGCUCCUGAGUUUAUAAGGCAGACAUCAGAUAAUUGUUUUCUGCCUUCUGAAACAGUUGUUGCCUCGCUGUAGAGAAUUUUGCCAUCAUCUGAGGUACUUGCUACACACCCCUGAGCAUUUUAUAACUCGGGUUCUUUGCCUUCUUUUCUCUUCUGAUUACUCCAACACUCUUUCUUGAUGUGCCCUUUCUUACCACAGUUGUAGCAUUUAACAUUCUUCUUACUUCUGGAUUUUGAUCUACCAUGAUUGUGACUCCCACUGGGACCACGUUCCAUUGAUCUCCCUCUCGUCACUGAUAGCGCCUCCGCUUGCUACGAACUUGCUUGUCUGUUUUCUUUAUUUUUUUUGUCUGCUCUCCUCAUUUAAUACGGAGGCUGCAACAUCGUCGAAAACCAGACUAUCCGCUGGAUUUUUGUUCGUCAUGUUGAUGAUGAGUUGAUCAUAUGAAUCUGGUAGACUUUGAAGUAGAAGCUCUGCACGUUCAUUUGCCUCUAUAUUAUGACCCAACGUUGUGAGUUGUGAAAAUAGAGUCUUCAAGGUGUUGAUGUGUCAUUCGAAGAGUAUAGAGUUUCCUCUUCGAAGAGUAUAGAGUUUCCUCUUCAAGAAAUAAAUUUAUCAAAGAUAAAAUGGAGACAAAUGUAAAUAAAAAAAAAUGAAAAAGCAAUAAAUUAUUGAAGUUGUUUGUGAGUUUAUUCGACAGAUAAUGGAUGCGUAUGCCUUACCUGCUAUUAAGAUUAAUUAGCUUCUUCAUUAACCGAAUACGAAAUAUUGAGGGGGAAAAAAACACAUAAUUGAAUCUUGAUUAAGCUAAAAGAAAUAACUCUGUUCAACCCACAUAGGGAGAGCAAUACGGCUACUAGACUUAUCCAUAAAAUGGGGGACAAUACUAUCAUCUCGAAUAUCAUAGAUUCCCAUGUUCUUACCGUUUACUUUCCAUUUAUCAGUGAAUUGUAUUUCUACUUGAGAACAAUCAGUAAAGUAUAUGCAAUUUCGUUCGCAGAUCGAGGAGUCCAAUAUUUCAAUAGAAAAAGAAGAAUUAAGACCCAAGAAGAGUGCUCUAUUUCCCAAAUCCUUGACCUUCGUCCAUGUAUUAGUGGUUAAAUCCACCUCAAAAACCUGAAACUUAUUCGCUCUACUUCGUGUGACAACCACCAAUGCCCCUCCAGAUUCUACCAAAUAUAGUAUUGAAGAGGACAUAAGUAACGAGAUUGACAUCCGUGCCACAACAAUCAAGUUAUUAGGAACGUGACCAGUAAAAUCACAAACAAAUAUAUAACCGAGCCAAUUUAUAGCAUAAAACCUGCCUUUGUGAUAAAUAACAUCAUGAAACCUGUACCAAUUCCCAGUGUCUACAGUGAUCCAAGUUUCUUGGCCUGGUUUAAAAUAAGCUAGUCUUCUUUCACUUCCACAAACAACCAUUACCGUAUAAUCAGAGUGUCGCUCCAAAUUACUCGCAGAAACAACAAAUUUUUUGAAGAAGAAGGGAUGGUCGACGCAAUAUUCCCAGGGCAUAAACGUACGUAUGUUCGGAAGUUCAAGUUGAACCCAUGAAAAGGAUUCAAAAGACUUGCAUUUAGAUUUUGAACAUGGAGUCUCAGAAGCCAACCCUUGGAAGAAAGGCAGUUCCUGUGGGAAUUUGCUUCUGGUAACAAAAUACGGCGGCUCAUGCCCCUUGACAGACUGAAGAAACCACGUUGAUUAAUAUCGCCGCAAUUUAGUGGCAUAUGCAUAAGGAGAGGCAUCUGAUUAAACUUGUACAUAAAUUUUUUGAUAGCUGCAGCCCAUCUCCAUGAAGUACAAACCCAACGAAAAGAAACAAAAUCCUCGUACAAUUUUAUCCGCCCAGCAAUUUCGACCAACAGAUCAUGAUGAAGUUCCGAUCGACCAAUUCGCCAUUUCAGAGGCCACUCGACUAGAGAUUAAUUGAAAUACCCUAACCCCUUAAGACUAAUCUCGCUCUCUCUCUCUUGUUGAAAAUUGAGUAAAAAAAAAAAGAGAGUUGAAAAGUCAAUUUGGAAGAUAUCAUUUGAAUUCAAUUUGGAGAUAGUCGAGAAGUUUGAUAAGCAAUUAGAAGUGGUCAAAACUAUUGAAAUGGUGGCUAUUGAAUGUUGAAAAAUUGGCUUGAUUUUAGGCAAAAUCUUGCCUAUAAAAGGAAGCUCUCAUUUGAGAGCUUGGCAUCCCAAAUCCCAGAGAUGGAAUCCAAGUUUUGGUGAGAAAUUAAGAGGGAGAAAUAUUCUUAAGCAUGUAGUUAUAUUGAAGGAGCAUUUGGCUCCUCAAUACAGGUAUUAUGGGUUUGCUUUGUUAAGGGAUAUUUCUCAAGAUUAUGUAUUUGGGGCUUGGGUGAGAGAAAAUUUAUGAGAGUGUGGUUGUAAUAAUUUUCCACAUAGUGAAUAUUUUUUUUUCUCUGGUUGUCUUGUGACAACGGCCGUGGUUUUUCUCCGGAUUUAGAGUUUUCCACGUAAAUCUUGUGUUGUGUGAUUGGUAUAUUCUCCAUUCAAUUUUUCUUAUUAAUUUGUUGCUUGAUAAAUUGCUUGGAGAGAUCUUGGGAGGAAACUCAAUUUCCUAACAGUGGUNNNNNNNNNNNNNNNNNNNNNNNNNNNNNNNNNNNNNNNNNNNNNNNNNNNNNNNNNNNNNNNNNNNNNNNNNNNNNNNNNNNNNNNNNNNNNNNNNNNNNNNNNNNNNNNNNNNNNNNNNNNNNNNNNNNNNNNNNNNNNUUUUGGCACCUCAAGAAAAUUGUCAAGAAGGUGGAGUGGGCUCGGUAAAUUACUCCAGAAUCAGUAAAGGAGAUAAUGAUAUUCUCGUAGAUAGUGAGUUUCCUUUUGAUAGGAGAUUGGGUUAGUUCUUUUGGCAUGUAAAUCUCCAAGUUGCCAUGAAAGAGAACAUGCUAUGAUCAGCGGGGUACACAAGUUUGCACGCGGGCAUUGGCUUGGUAUAAAUGCAAGGUGUGUGAUGGAAAAGUUAUGUCAUGGCUGAAGAAUUCUCAGGGAAACCAAGCAUGAGAAUUGCACCAUAAUUUUCAGCGGAUAUGUUCGACAUGUGCCGAAAAAAAAAAAUCUUAGAAUGGUUAAUUCUAAGUGUUAUACUCUUUAUGGUGGAGUAUGAUAAUUCUCUAUGUUGAGAAUUAUGACUGUUGGUGAAGACAGUGCUUUGUAACAUUAGUUAUGAAUUUUUUUUUUUUUUUUUAUCAAGGUGGAGAUUGUUGAAAAUUGAUUAAAAAAAAAAGAGUUGAAAAGUCAAUUUGGAAGAUAUCAUUUGAAUUCAAUUUGGAGAUAGUCGAGAAGUUUGAUAAGCAAUUGGAAGUGGUCAAAACUAUUGAAAUGGUGGCUAUUGAAUGUUGAAAAUUUGGUGAGAAAUUAAGAGGGAGAAAUAUUCUUAAGCAUGUAGUUAUAUUGAAGGAGCAUUUGGCUCCUCAAUACAGGUAUUAUGGGUUUGCUUUGUUAAGGGAUAUUUCUCAAGAUUAUGUAUUUGGGGCUUGGGUGAGAGAAAAUUUAUGAGAGUGUGGUUGUAAUAAUUUUCCACAUAGUGAAUAUUUUUUUUUCUCUGGUUGUCUUGUGACAACGGCCGUGGUUUUUCUCCGGAUUUAGAGUUUUCCACGUAAAUCUUGUGUUGUGUGAUUGGUAUAUUCUCCAUUCAAUUUUUCUUAUUAAUUUGUUGCUUGAUAAAUUGCUUGGAGAGAUCUUGGGAGGAAACUCAAUUUCCUAACAUCUCUCUCUAUCUAUAUAUAUAUAUAGUGUAUGUUAACUAGAAAACCUUUUUCAAAUCGGAGGCGUACAAAAAAUUAACAUAGUAAUUUUGUACAUUGCGACAAGAAUCUAGUUAUGAAUUCUACUAAAAUCAGGAAAAGCAAGUCAAUUCCAAAUAGAACAAGAGUGGUAAAAUUGAAAUAACAAAAGUACUAUUCAAAUAAGAAAACUAGUAUGGGCUUGUAUGUAUCUGUCAAUUGGAUUCGGCCAAUAGCCAGUGCACGACCCACCAAAACUAGUGGGCAAUGAUCUCGUUAGCCAUUAUGGUUCUGUCAAUUAUACAUUAUGUGUUAGAUUGAAGACGUAGAAAAGGUGAACUUAAUGAGGAAAAAAGAAAGAAAGAAAGAAAGACGUCGUAAUAAUUUCUUUGUAAUGCUGCUAACCUAAGAUAAAUUGAAUCAAAUAGAAAUAGAACUGGGGUACGUGUGGUUGAGCUUGCUUUUGUUAAAUGGACAUCUCGUUCCCCUCUAAAUAUUCCCCUCUUGCCAUGUUUGCUCGCGGUGAAUUUUGUCAAAUUCUUUGGUUCUUUUCGAACCAGAGACGUGAAAAAAGAUUAAAUAAAUAAAAAAUAAUCAUAAUUUCAUUCUGUUAUUCCACAUUAUAUUUAGUUAUAGUAGGAUAAGGUCAAUCAAGUCAAAUCAAUCAUGAGUUUCAUUUGACUGGAUACUUGAGUUCUAACCCCCUUAAAAAAUAAAAAUGUCAAAAUAUGAAUAGUUUCUAUAUAUUGCUCAAGGAAAAUCAAGAGAAAAAUUAGAAUCAAUCAAGCACGGAGAAUUGCAAGGAGAAUAAUGGAUACUUAAACAAUAUACUGUUUUUAAUUACAAUAUAAUCUCCAAUGAUCUUAGAAACAAAUAAUUACUUAUGAAGCAUUGCAAGUAGUUUAUGUUGAAGUAAAAUAGAAACGUAAUUAAGAAUGAAAAAUACGUCAACAUUGUAGCUGCUUCUAAUUUUAGGCAGCAAAAUAAAUUUGAAAUCAAAUAUACAAACCAAUUUUUUUUAAAAAAAUAAAAUCUAAUCGUAAGUAAGCUAACUAAAAUAAUUAUGUUCAAGCCACAUGGAGAGAGCAAUACGGCUACUAGACGUACCCGUAAAAUGUGGGACAAUGCUACCGCGUCCAAUGCCGUAGAUUCCCAUGUCCUUGCCCUCAUUGGAGCCCCUUUCUACUUGACAAUCAUCAGUGAAAUAUGCCCCUCCUGAUUCUACCAAAUAUUACCGCUGCCCCAACGAAGACCAAGACAUUUAACACUUGUGCCAUAACCGUCAAAUUAAAUUAGAAUCCUCAGCACUAAAAUCACAAACAACUAUCCGCCCACACUUAGCUACAGCUAGAAUAAAACUUAUCUUUGUGACAAAUAACAACAAGCCUCUCCCAUUCCAAGUGUGUACACUGAUCCAAGAUUUUCGGCCUUGUUGGAAAUAACCAUUACUAUGUAAUCAGAGUUUUCCAGGUUACUCAAUGACACAAUAAAUCGUUUGAAGAAAAUGGAUUGGUGAUCUCGUUGAGGAAAUUCCCUAUAUUAUUACUACAACGUGUUCUAAAUGUGGUCGGAAGUUGAAUUUGAACACGUUAGAAAGGAUGCAAAAGAGACUUACAUUGCAAUUUCGAGCGUCAAAUGUUAGAAGCCAACCAUUUGAAGAAAGGCAGUUCCUGCAGGAAUUUGCUUCUGAUAACAAAACACGGUCGCUUAUGCCUUUGAAAGACUGAAGAAACCACAUUUGCUAUUGCUGCAAUUUAGUGGCAGAUGCAUAAGGAGAUGCAUCUGAUUAAACUUGUUCUUUUAAAUGUCAUUAUAUUCAGUUGUUAUUUUGUUUUGUUGACAAUAAUUUGUUUAGGUGUCAGUUAUUUAGGACCUAGUCAAGUAAGUGGUGGACUUAGUCUACGACUUGGUAGGAAUUAUUGCCCACUUACCUUUUUUUCAUGCUUAGAGUUGCCUGUCUUUAGGAAUAACCGUUGUCUUUUUGUUUAUAAAGGUUCAGUAAAUAAAGAUGCAUAGGUAACUCUGAAUUUGAACAACACCGGUGUGUUUCACAGGGAGGUGCAGGGUCUCUCGAACGAUUCUGAUUUAUUUUCUUGCUUUCCUUCUUAAAUAUUUCAUCUUGCAUCCAAAAUGUUAGGCAGGACUAACAAGACUGAUUCAAGCUCGCUGUACCAUGUUCGUAAAGCUGUUGAUAGUGCCAGCCAAUCUCCGUGAAGUACAAACCCAACAAAAAGAAACAAAGUCUUCAUACAAUUAACUAUUUGAAGAAUAAAUGUGACAUUUUAAUUGGAAAAUUAACUAAUUGAAGCCAAGAUCUAGAUCCAGUGGUAAAGUGCAAUUUUUAUAGAUUUCAAGUUUUGCGUUUGAAUUUGAAUGGGUGAGUAAAUUAAUAAUAAUAAUAAAACAAAUUAACUAGUUUUAAUCUACAGAGGUCUUAGAUCAUCAAAUAAUGAUAGAACCUCGAAUUUCAUAAAUUUUAAGUUGAAUGAUUACAUUAUUUCACCAUCUAGUGAAUAAAUGCCAAAUUAUUUAAGAAAAAUUUUGAAAAUAAAAUUUUGAGAUAUAUAUCACUACUCAAUUAAAUGUAGUAUAAAAAAUACAUCAGGGACCAAAAAUAUAAAAAUCCAUUAGAAAUUAAAAAAAAAUAUAAAAGUCAAUUUCUGAUUAGAAGAAUUAAAAUAUCAUUCUCCUAUAAUCAUUUCACUAGAUUUUAUAUAUAUUUAUUACAGCAAAAUUAAAAUAAAAAAUUGGCACCUAACCCUAACGUCUUUGACAUUGCUACCAAUAUCACUCACUCACAACUUACAAGAAUGAAUCUAGACUUAAUUUUCCCAGGGAAUUUUUAGUUUGACUUUACAUUUUCAGACCCAUUUGCCACAUAACACCUUAGUUGGUUAACAAAGCCCUUUCAUGAGAAUAUUAAAACUGCUGUCGAAUAAGCAUCUUAACAACCCCUUUUUUGACAUACAUGCAUGCCUCCUUAUGUGAAGAAAUUUGAAACAUAAAAGAAAAUUUCAAUCGAUGUGAGAGUUGGGAGUAUUUUAUAGCUUUUCUCCUCAUUAAUUAUGAAUUAAGAGAAUAUUUCUACGUCACUAAUGAUUAAAAUGAUCACUAUAUAAAGGGUAGCAAAGUAUGUUUAACAUCAAGUCAGAAAACACAAUUUUAAGGAAAUGGGAACUCGGGGACAGGCGAGGCAAUGGCCUCAAUUGUUUUGUGCUAUGGCAUUUUUGCUUAUAGCCACCACCACCAAGGCAUCGGCUGAUGAUUAUGCCUCAGCACCACCACCAAAGCAUUCUCCUCCACCUCCUUACGACUACAAAUCACCACCUCCUCCUUCUCCCUCUCCACCGCCACCAUAUUAUUACAAGUCUCCCCCACCACCAUCUCCAUCUCUUCCACCGCCUUACUACUAUAAAUCACCACCUCCACCAAAAUAUUCUCCUCCACCACCUUACUACUAUAAGUCACCACCUCCACCAGUGAAAUCUCCACCUCCGCCAUAUUACUAUAAAUCACCACCACCACCAAAACAUUCUCCCCCGCCACCUUACUAUUACAAGUCACCACCACUACCAGUGCAUUCUCCCCCACCGCCUUACUAUUACAAAUCUCCGCCAACACCAAAGCAUUCUCCCCCGCCACCUUACUACUACAAAUCUCCACCACCACCAAAACAUUCCCCACCACCACCUUACUACUAUAAGUCACCGCCUCCACCAGUAAAGUCUCCACCACCGCCACCAAAGUAUUCUCCCCCACCACCUUAUUAUUACAAAUCACCACCUCCACCAGUGAAGUCUCCACCUCCGCCAUACUAUUAUAAAUCACCACCACCACCAAAGCAUUCUCCCCCGCCACCUUACUAUUACAAAUCUCCACCGCCACCAAAGUAUUCUCCCCCACCACCUUACUAAUACAAAUCUCCAUCACCACUAUCUCCAUUCCCACCUCCAUCUUACAUUUAUAAAUUCUCACCGCCACCAUCUACAUCACCUCCACCUCCACCUUUGUCACUAUCACUAUUGCCUCCCUACUACUACAAGUUGCCACCACCUCAUUCAUCUUUGCUUUCGUCGUAUUACUACAAAUCACCCCCUCCUCCUAAAGACUACUAAGUUCAAUGUCCCUUCUUGAAACAAGAUUAAAGUUCAAUAAGAAUAAAUUUGUUCCUUUGGUUGCCUUUCUUAUGAUUUUUUAUGUCAAUCUUUUUAUGAAUAAUUUGUAAGAAGCGUUUAGUGUACCGUUUGUCAUGUGCAAUAAAAAUCUUGUAACUUAAUGUAUCAAAAAAAGAAGUAUUGUUCCAUAAGAAUUAUUCUAUUGUUUUAUCACGUGU
RNAcentral lists this long non-coding RNA (48033 nucleotides) under Citrus sinensis (sweet orange). RNAcentral's name for it is "long non-coding RNA (CSIN_LNC000969)". Lineage: Eukaryota; Viridiplantae; Streptophyta; Magnoliopsida; Sapindales; Rutaceae. The record is from RNAcentral.